CCCAUUAAUCUGCAUUAUUAUUUAUCAGUAGAUAUUGCGAAGUGUUCGCGUCAAUCUGCAUGUUACAAACUGCUUCAUUAAUCAUUAUUCAUGUCGAAUAAACAGGUCGCUAGCCCCUGCAUUAUUAUUUAUCUCUAAUACUACUACGCACUCUCAAAUUCUGAAGUAUAUAUACCCUUAUAUUUAUAUAAGAAGGCACGCAUGAACCCAUCACUUCUAGCAGGUGAGGUUGCUCCCCGGGUCGACGCCGAACUGCUGGCAGUACUGCUUGUAGUAGCCCACCCGCGCGUUCAUUUGCGCGGGGUUGUUUCCGUUGCACUCGAGGGCGCCGUUUAUGGCUCUGAUGGUGGCGCCAAACCCCUGUGGCAUCACCCCGUGCACGUUGUUCAUCCAGAACCAGAGCGCCGCCUUGAACGCGAUCACGGCGUCCUGCGCCACGGCGUCCGGGUUCCCGAGCCCGUCGAAGCCGAUGCUCUGUCCUGCCGGCCCGUAGUUGUAGUUCCACGAGAUCUGCAGGGGGCCUCUUCCGUAGUACUUCUGCCCCGCGGCGCACGGCCACUGUGUGUAGCUCGAGUCACAGUAGGCGUUGUCCUUGUUGAUCUCGCUAAUGUAGCAGAAAUCUGCCGUGCAAAUUAUGUUCCAAAUUGAUUAGCAUGAUAUAUGCAGUCAUAUAUAUACAUCCCGUCGAAGAGAGGUUACACACGCGUUUCAAUCAACUUACGUCCGGUCUCGUGUGUGGCGUGAGCGAAGAAGGCGGCGAUCUCGCGCUUGCCGUCGUCCUCCGAGCCGCCCUGGGCGAAGCCGGAGUACGCACUGGCACUGGCAGCGCUCAGGAACGCGUCGCGCGAGUAGAAGUUGCUGCCCUCGCACCCACUUCCGGCCUGGUUCUUGAUGCCGUUGAAGAACGCGUCGGUGACGACGUUACCGACGUUCGCGCCGCUGCCGCUGCCGCUGCUGCCGCCGCUCCCUGUCCCUGUGCAGGGGCCCGACCGGCACCCGGUGCCACAGUACUCGCUGGUCUGGCCGCAGUAGCCAUACUGGCUGCAGCAGAAGUCUGGCUGGCAGCCGCAGUUCUGCGCGGCGGCCGGACCGACAGCGCAGAGGAGCGCUAGCAGCCCGAGAGCCAGAACAGUCAGGAUCGUCGGCGAGCUCGCCAUACUUUACUGAUGAUCUGAGCGUCAGCUCCGGACGAAAAUGCUUCUUUGCUGCGCGGCUGUGAGGUGAUUUGAGAUUGGCAUGCUGGUGUCACCUUAUAUAGAGGUCAGGGCGCGGAUGCCCAACUUCUCGACGUGUGGCGUUCGACGUGCAACCUCAUGUCCGCUUGUGCAACUUGCACCACCGGUCCACCGCUGCCCUUAGCUGCAACGUGGACUUGCGGUUUGGAACUUUGGAGAUACGGUAGCCGCGCAAUUUAUAUUUAAUUAUUUCUUGAUGGAAAUACGUUCUUUCUGGCGAUUUUUCGCGCGUACAAAGACGACUGCCGCCAUCCUGCCCCAGCUGGCAGUGGCACUGGCCGCCGUAUAUCAUCAGUAGAGACUUGCGUUUCCACAACGUAUUAGAAACGGUCAGCCCAGGACGAGAGCUCCAUGAUCGGUGCCGAUGAGAGCGGCCUAAUUUGGAGUACUUUUAUUUCCUUCUCUUAUUUUCUUGGACUCUUGGGUCAUUUUCGUUGAACAGGGAAUGCGCACAUUGGGUCUUGUGCUAAGUAAAGAAGUAUGGGCUCCUUGGUUCGGUACUCAUAUGACGGUAGGGACCCAUAGAUAUUGCACACGACAAGUGUAGACGAGUGUACAAAAUUAUGUAUCUAAGGUGGUGUUGUUAUGGGUACAAAAUUCUACCUGUUAUUAUUUAUCGUCAGUGUGCAGGAGCCGACAGUAAUUUGCUUCACUGCCGAGUCAUAAGUCUAUGAUUUGGACAGUGAUUGGAAUCUUACUGACCCGAUAAAUAUCAUUGCCAGCUCCAGCCAUGAACUGACAAGGACAUAUCAUUAUCAGGUCAGGCCACAACCCUACACUGUGAUAUGUCGCCAAUAUCGAAUCGAUGCUUGACAAUGGCAACGGCAAAACUACAUCACUACCGGUUCUUGAUCGACCCGACAGUGCCCUACUAUUACAGUAUAAAACUUUAGCCAGCUUCUUCCUCCUCCUCCCAUCUCAACUCUCGAGCAUCUUUCCUCGUCUCUCUCUAUUGUUGCCGACAUAUUUCACCAAAAUAUUUAUGAAGGGUUAGUUUCCGAAGAAAGGACAUUUUCUCCUUGCAUUAAGGUGGAUAAUUAGCAAUCCUUUAACUUGUUUUGUUAGUUAUAUUAUUUUUUUAUUGUUAUGCUUGUUGUUUCUCCAUUUUAAAGAGCAUUCUUUCAUAGGAUUCUGCAUGCAUACAUCUGGAUUUUUGGUGAGUCCAUUUUGUACCAGUAACUUAUAGUUACUAUACCUAUGAACCCAUUUAAUUUGUAGCUAGUUCAGUUUGCUUCGUUAUUAGAUUGGUUUUAAUUUUCUAGCAAAUGUGGUAAUAUAGUUUAGUUAGUUCCUUUAGUUUCCCCCAUUUUAGUGUAGAAUGGAAUAGAAUUGUGAAUUGUCCAUGGUCUACCAACUUUUAUAAACCCACAUGAUGUCGGUACUUUGAGGCUAUUAACUAGCAACUCAUUUAGUUUUGGAGUAAUUUGGUUGAUUCUCUAGUAAAUGUGGUGAUUUAAUUGGAGGUCAUCACUGCUGAUUAAUGUCAUAACAAUAUGAUUAACUUCCUAACUAAUGCUCUUAAUUAAUUAGGGGCUCAAGGGCUACACAUAGUAGGUGCGCUCGCACGCCCCUGCUGAAUCUCCUACAACUAAAAAGAACAAAGUGUGGACAAUUUUUGGUGCAACAAAUUUUAGCUGUCUGCCUACCGCCCGUGCGAUCUUUUCUUCCACUUCGCAAAAAGGAAACUCCCGGUCUCCACGCUCUCUGCCCUCCAUGUGAAAAAAGAAACCCGUCCUCGCCUCCCCCUCCCACACCGCGAAACCGCGAGGCCGCCGCCGCACCGAUCGCACGCGGCCAUCCUAGCAUGAAGAACCCCGACGGCGGCCAGUGUUCAACGAGCUGAGGGUCGAUCUCCUACCUAAAUCGAGACGGCGUCGUCUAGCUUCGUGCCGUUCGUAGGCGACGGACAUGUGGAUUUUGUUGUGCUGUCAUGGCGCCCUGCCCCAUUGACGUCCGCUGCCACGACUCAGCCCUACGGUGGCCAACCAUUCCUGCCCACCCCCGCACGCACACACGGGCAAUUGCCUCUCCCGUGCUCUUGCCGUACUUGGUGGCGGGCCCUGGUUGCGGAUCUGGUCGGCGCUCUGCCUCUCCAUCUCCAGCAGCUGUGGCUCCGCUCCACGGUCGGCCUUGCCGGUGCGUGGCCCACGUGGCGACGGCGCAUCACACCUUCCUCUCGCAGGCAGUGGUCGUUCAGCGCAGGCAUCCGCAUGGGGCAUAUCCAGCUGCCAGAAACAAGAAGCCCUGCGUGUUCGGUGCAACAGGCGACCGCACGACUUGGUGUCACCGGCCUCUCCGCAACUCCUCCUCGGCUCUCCGCGACUCUUGAGCUAGCUUUCCUGACUGCCUCCAUCUCCUGUUCCCCAUCCAACUUUAAUGCUCGAUUGCUCUGCUUUGACUUUGAUUUGGUUUCUUCAUUCAGAGGUAAUUCUGUACCUUUAUUUGUGUAUAAGAGAUUUCUCCCCUACUGAUUUGGUUUAUUGGAUCUAAGAUGGACUGGAUUUGGGAGUUCUGAACAGGAGAAACACAUAACCUUGCAUCUUAGGGUGUCCGUCGUGUUCUCCUUUUGCCUCCCCAAAUACCUCUGCCCACACAUCCAGAGACUUCGUACAUGAAGAAGCUUUAGAUCGCAGGGACCUCAUGGUCGGGUGAGUUCGCUUUGGUGUGAACGAUGAUAGAUGUCCGUGCUAUUGGAAGCAACAGCUCCAUCUGAAUCUUGGUCACGUGUUAUUGGAACCAGUCUCACAUCACGUCGCUAGAGACAAGGUGGAAGAUGAGAUGAGCUAGCUCCUUUUGUGAUCUACAAAUUUUCCGAUGAGGUUGUCUGUACAUACGUUUUUUUUUCAAAACUGAUGUUGAUUUGCAUCAAAAUCUGACAUUCUGACAAUGGUAUAUUUCUGCGCCGCGCAUGAAUUUGAUUUCCGGAUGCAGUUUGCACAACCAUAACAAUUCAAGGCACUGUGUUCGUUGCAUCCGUAAUAAUUCAAGGUAUUGUUCAUUUUUCUCCCCUUGUUUCUAUUACACAUAUACUGUUUGUUAUAAUAUUUUUAUUGGGUCUCUCGUAUCCUCUCUCUUAUCCAAGAUCAUUUGCGGUGAUUUUUCGCCAUUAGCUUCUUUCUGGUGUUCCUGUAUUCUGGAAGAAGCUUGUGAGUGUAUUAGCUUUAUUUUUUCCGAUAGGCUACAAAAUGACAGUAAUAUGUUUUAUUUUCGUCCUAGAUAUAGGUACCGUGGUUGAUUCUCAUGUUAGUCAAGAUACUGAAUUUGAUUUAUACAUGUUACCUAUGCUGGCAUUUAGAAUGGUGUCCCUACAUAAUUGUUGAAAUCCAUUUAUUAUAGUAGAGACUACACUAUACGAUGGAAUGGUCCGAUUCAUGAUUCAGACUCUUUGCCACGAACAAGCAGUACCUAUCUUUAUCAUGUUUUGUGGGACGUGAACAUUUUUGCGGUUGAUAGUGGUUAAAAAAUUCAAGCAAUUUUAGUUUGCAAGUUGCAGGUAGUUUUCAACAGUUGUGAUACUCUUAAUUCCUUUUGAACUAACUUUGAGUGUGUCUGCAAUUACUUGGCUAUAGAUCAACUUUAAAUUUAUACUUUUUAGGAUCUGUGCAUUCAUUGUUGCUACCUGAAUGACAAUUAAUAUAGUGACUUAAACUUUCUGGCACAAACAAUGGCACCACCUUCAUGGAAACUUUAUUUUUUUAUAAGCAUUCUCCUUUCAACUUGUAAUUUGAGCUGCAAUUUUUUUCCUGUGGUUCGUGGUUGCAGUGAUGGCUAGGCAACAGGAAGAAUAACCUAUGUCACAUUCAAAGACAUAUGCACUCAUAUGGAAGGAAUACAUUUUUUUGAUAAAGGUAGUUAUUCACUCUGGCUUUGUUCUAAUUGGAGGUUGCCACAAAAUAUGAGUUCUGAUCCACCUUAUUAUGGACAACUAUGACACCUUAUUAUGGAUCCACCUACAGUAUUGUUAUCUUAUUAUGCGAUAUGUAUUUUAAAUAUAAAAUGUUAACUAUCCCGUAGCAACGCACGGGCACGCUACCUAGUAAUAGGAAAACUCGAGAUGGCCCUCUCCAAAAGUGGCACGAACACCUGGAAGAAGCGCCUCAAGUGAGCCUAUGACCGAGCCCCCAUGCUUAGGGGUUCAAGAAGUCUCUGAGUAUUGUCGACCUUGAACAACAACAACCAACCAAAGAAGGCUAGGAACCGUGGACCAUCAUGGCGACAUAGGCAAUCUUCCGCUAGGCUUUAACAGAAGCCCAGAGCCUAACAAGCAGACAUAUCCACAAUGCUCCAUGCCCUAUAGGAGCUCUGUCUCCAUGUCCACAUGAGGCUAUGUCGGCCACUCCCAAUUCAGUGGCACGCCCAAGGCAUGACACAACACGACAAGGGUGUGUGCAUCACCUAUGCAUGAGGAAGAAAAUGGGAUCAUAGGCCCUUCGAUCAAUCUAUCCUAAGGAAAUGCUCAUGCCUUUGGUGCACAACCCAUGCCAUGAAGAGGGAUGAACUUAGGUAAGACACAACGAUAUUUCCUGGUUCAGACAAGCAACUCUAGGCUCCUGCAAGUGAUGUCAGGGACAACACAGCAGUGUCGUCCACGACCACUAGAGAAGACGACAUCAGACACCUCUAACAACUCAAAGAUUAUGAUUUUAAAUUGUAACACUACCAUGUUGAACAAGGGAACCCCAGGAACUCCUUUACUCUUCUUGUCCUCCAAAAUAUAGGUAGGGGAGAGGCCCCUUAGAGGAGGAUGAAUCCAAGAGAGAACCCUAGAUCGGAACUAGCUAGCACUCUCCUACCAUCUUUCUCUCUUCCAAUGUAAGCACUUGCUUGACAAUUCUAACAUGAAUAACUUAUUGCUGGACAUAAAGGUCGUGUGCUAAACCACCCGAAUCUCACACAUCGACCCAUCGAUCAAUCUACUAAUCACUCGUCGUGGUUACGAACCCACAAUAGUCACCUUUCAUAAAAUGAGGGUAUCAACCCCUUUAAAUUUGUUUCUUGUUAAUUUCAUUCAUAAGCUUGCUAUGGGAUUUGAUAUUUAGUAUUAUGGGACAUUCAUUAUUCACAAAACUAGUGAGGGAUAAUCCUUAUCUAGGCGUUUACUCCUUUAUCUAGGUGGUCAAAACUCAUGUCGCAUAUAAUCCACAAGAUGAAGGCUACGUGCACUGCCCAUGGAGUGAUUGCAAGAAUUAGAGGUAAUUUUGCAACCACAAGAAGAUAUGAUCUCAAUUGAUAAUCACAGUUUCAAGACUGCAAGAUGUGGACUAAGCAUGGGGAUAGUGUGAGAAUGUAGUGGAUGACCAAGGCGAUGGUGAUGACAGCAUGCCUGAUUCUGUUGAGGAAACAAGUGUCAACUAGAAAGAGGUGGUUAACGAGGAAACAUGUGUCAAUAGAGAAGAUGUUGUUAACAAUGUUUUUAGAAAAUAGUUAGUUGAUACCAUGGAAGACGGCCUUUAUAAGAUGUUGCAUGAUGAGAAACCAAGAUUCUUUAGUCCAAAAUAUUUGAAAAGACCGUUGUACUCGAGUUGCAAACUAAGCAAAUUGGAAGUUGACCUCAUGCUAUUGGAACUGAAAUGUAUUCAUAUAGUUUGUUUGAUAAAAGCUUUGGAGAUUUAUUAUGUAUGCUGAAGAAAUUGGACACGGUCCCUAAUGAGUUAAUUAACAAGUAUAACAUAUGAGGACAACCAAAUGGGAUAUACCCAUUCAACCUCGAAGUUGAGAAAAAACAUAUGUACCAAUGAUUGUAUAUUUUGGCCUUGUUUAGUUCGCAAAAACUUUUGGCUUUGGCUACUGUAGCAAUUUUGUUUGUAUUUAACAAUUAUUGUCUAAUCAUGGACUAACUAGUCUUAAAAGAUUCGUCUCAUAAAUUACAGGCAAAUUGUGCAAUUAGUUUUUAUUUUUAUCUAUUUUAAUGAUUCAUGCAUGCGUCCAAAGAUUCAAUAUGACAGAGAAUCUUGAAAUUUUUUUUGGAAACAACCAUUGCUUUAUCUUGGAGAUGAAUAGAAAGACAUGGAUGUUUGCCCAAAGUGUGAAGCUUCACCGUACAAGCAGGUCAUGGCAAACGAUGGUUGUCCGACCAAAGAGACUAAACAAAAGUCGCUUGGGUCGCUUGGGUCGCUUGGUAUUUCCCUACAUUCCAUCUCUAUUUGGCUCUAGUUUCAUCAGUAGUAGUAUUAUACUUCGCGCAAUCCACUACAUUGAUACGAUUGUAGAUAAAACCAAGUGAUUAUGCUGAUAUGAUUAAGAGAUUACUCUUUCUUUGCAAGUAUGAUUAAGAGAUACUCGUGUUCAUACUGAAUAGGAUUAAAAUUGAGGUGAUUAUAUAGCACUUGUGUUGUCGUCGAAGUCACUUGACUUUCUAAGUAGAUAGGAUCAAGUGACACAAAUUAACAUAAUAUAAUCUGCAUAUUACGAAUUGCAUCAUUAUUCUUGUCUAAUAAACAGGUCGUGAGCCCCUGCAUUUUUACUACCGGUAUUACGUACUCUCAAACUCUAAGGUUUCUUCACCACAGCCGACUGCGUGACGCCGAGUAUUUAUACUUGUCGAGCCAAGAACACAUGCAUAAACCCAACACUUCUAGCAGGUGAGACUGUUCCCCGGGUCGACGCCGAACUGCUGGCAGUACUGCUUGUAGUAGCCCACCCGCGCGUUCAUUUGCGCAGGGUUGUUUCCGUUGCACUCGAGGGCGCCGUCGAUGGCCCUGAUGGUGGCGCCGAACCCUUGCGGCAUCACCCCGUGCACGUUGUUCAUCCAGAACCAGAGCGCCGUCUUGAACGCGAUCACGGGGUCCUGCGCCACCAUGUCCGGGUUCCCGAGCCCGUCGAAGCCGAUCUCCCUCCCGGCAGGACCGUAGUUGUAGUUCCACGAGAUCUGCAGCGGGCCGCGCCCGUAGUACUUCUUCCCCGGGGCGCACGGCCAUUGUGCGUUGCUCGAGUUGCAGUAGGCGCUGUUCUCGUUGAUCUCGCUUAUGUAGCAGAGAUCUGUCGGCAUCAAGCUAUUAGUCAUACAUGCAUCACCCCGCACAAGGGAAAUUACACUCUGCAGUUAGUGGAGGAUCCAUGAACUUACGUCGGGUCUCGUGCGUGACGUGCGCGAAGAAGGCGGCGAUCUCGCGCUUGCCGUCGGCUUCCGUGCCGCCAUGGGCGAAGGCGGGGUACGAGCUGCUGGCAGCGCGCAGGAACGCCCUCCGCGAGUAGAAGUUACUGCCCUCGCACCCGCUCCCGGCCUGGGACUUGAUGCCGUUGAAAAAUGCGUCGGUGACGACGCCGCUUACGUUCGCGCCGCUGCUACCGCCGGAUCCCGUGCAGGGGCCGGACUGGCACGUGUUGCCGUUGCAGUAGUCGAAGCUCGUGCCGCAGUAACCGAACUGGCUGCAGCAGUAGCCUGGCGGGCAGCUGCAGUUCUGCGCGGUGGCCGGACCUGCGGCGCUGAGGAGCGCUAGCCCGAGAGCCAGAACCGUCAGCAUCGUUGGCGAGUUUGGCAUACUGAUCGACGAUCAGAUCCUGCGGAAAAUUAAGUUCCGUUGCCGCGGUGCAGCUGGCAUGCUGGGGACUGGUUGCCUUAUAUAUAUACCUGCCAACUAUCAAAUGGUCCCAUCUUCUCGAUGCAUGGCGCUUUCCACGUUUGGAGUAUACUUGUGAGUUGUGACUUGUGUCACCUCUGUCGAUCAACACGACACGUUAGUAUCAGCGUUGUCCUUUGUGGUCGUUUUUGGCGUCUACGAACGAAGACGAUUGCUGUUAUCGUGCAUUUUCCUGCUGCCGGAGCUGGCACUGGCCGCCGUAUAUUGCUGCCUAGUACUAGGACAAAGGAUCAGGCAUGUGCAAACUUAUAGCAUAGACUUGCGUGUUCCAAAAUUUAAAGAAACGGUCAUGCCAGGAAGAUACUUCAAAGAUCGGUGCCGCAUUCCGGUGAUAGCGGCGGCCUAGUUUGGACUUUUCUCUUCUUUUCUUGCCUUGGACUCUUGGGCAGUUUUUGUUGAUGAGCCCUUGUUCAGUUAAUCUCUUAUCUAAGGGGAUUAGAGAAGAUUAAGGCUCCGACAAACCUUUCCUUUUCCAAAUUUAUAGUAUGGAUGAAUAGUUCCAGUUCGAAAUGGCUUGUUAUGGAACAACCGAACGUGGCCUAAGGGCUCGCUCGUUUGGCCCGGAACAGAGGUCAGGAACCAUUCCGGCUAGAAGUUUAUACAAAUUAGAGAGGCAAUCCUGUCUGAAUUAGUUCUAGGCCAAGGUUAUCCAGGAACCAAACAGCCUCUAAGGCUGCAUUCAGUUGUUAUGAAUUGGUGUUCUGGAAACAUUCCAACUAGUAUUGCUAGUGCAACUUAUAACCAGUGUUUACCAGGGACAAUCCCUACCUAGAUUUACCCCUAACCGGACGAGCCUUAAAGAGAAUUGAGAAAACUGUUGGAGACAAGAACUAUAUUUAGCAUCAGCAUGCCUAGAUUAGCUAGUUAGCUCAGUCAACCUGCGCCCGCGUCAUGAGCAAUGCCAGAGCUCUGCAUGUCGAGGCAGCACGGUGCUCGGCGCCCUGCGCGGUCAGCCGCAGCUCCACCCUGUGUAACCUGUAUAUGUACUUGUCAAUGAACAUGAAUGGAACUCGUUGGCUAAAGUUCGCCAACGCUGCAGCAGAGUGCAUCUGGCUUCGACAGCUCCUGGGCGAGCUCGGCUGCGUCACACACAAGGCCACCGUCAUAUUUUGCGACAAUAUCUCUGCGAUCUACAUGUCUUCCAACCCGGUACAUCACAAACGUACCAAACACAUCGAGCUGGAUAUGCACUUCGUCCGUGAACGUGUUCAAUUUGGAGAGAUCCGUGUGCUUCAUGUCCCUACUGGCGAACAAUAUGCCGAUGUGCUCACCAAAGGCCUUCCCACCUCUACGUUCGAGGCCUUCCGAAACAGUCUCUGUGUGUUUCCAACUCACAUUCGACUGCGGGGGGUGUUGGAGACAAGAACUAUAUUUAGCAUCAGCAUGCCUAGAUUAGCUAGUUAGCUCAGUCAGCCUGUGCCCGCGUCAUGAGCAAUGCCAGAGCUCUGCAUGUCGAGGCAGCACGGUGCUUGGUGCCCUACGCGGUCAGCCGCAGCUCCACCCUGUGUAACCUGUAUAUGUACUUGUCAAUGAACAUGAAUGGAACUCGUUGGCUCCGGUUCUCAUUUUCUACAAAAACAUUUGACUUGCAGAGAAUUGACUUUUUUUUGGAAUUUAUUUGGAUACACUUUGAUCCACAGGUGUGUUGAGGGGAACUAAGGUGGAAAAUUAGAUAGUUUUCCACGCUAAUGCCCCUUAACCUACGUGGAUUGUGGUGAGUUAGAGUGCAUUUAAAUAAGCCCUCAAUCCUUUUAUAUUGUAGCUAACCGAAGUCCUAUGACAAAAAAAAAUCCAUGGAUUUUUCUCAAAUCAAAGGAAAAAAAAAAGCUCCAUGAACCUUGUGCUAAAUAAAGAUGUAAUGGCCUUCGCGGGUGGGUAGGGUCACUGGCUCACUGCUACCCACGAAGGCAUGUCAAAGCUUGGAGCUCAGUGACUCAAAAAAAAAACUGGAUCCUAGUUGGGCCUGUCUGUAACUGGUCAUCAAGGCCCAUAUCAUCUGGAUGGCCCAGAAAUUUGGUGUCCCUGGACAUGCGGCCGGCCACCCACAUUUUUGGUUGGGCCAGGUUGGCCUGAUUCCAAAGAGUCUGCGACUUGCUAUUGAGCAGCAGCAGAAACCGUGCCAAACCGCGCAGUAGAUGUGCAUCCUCUCCAGCAUUCGUGUAAGCUGAUUUCUACUUGUGGCUCCUCCCUCUGCUUUUGUUUAGCUGUUGUCGCCUACUACUUGCCACCGCGUACGCGCCUGUGUGUUUCUUUGUGCUGGUACUGUCUCUCCUUGAGGCCUUGUUUAGUUUGCAAAAAAUUUUGUUUUUGGCUACUGUAGUAUUUCGUUUUUAUUUGACAAAUAUUGUCCAAUCACGGAGUAACUAGGCUUAAAAAAUUUAUCUCACAAAUUACAGAUAAACUGUACAAUUAGUUUUUAUUUUCGUCUAUAUUUAAUGCUCCAUGCAUGCGACUAAAGAUUUGAUGUGACGAAGAAUCUUAAAAAUUUCGGCAUGUCUAGCGCCCAGACGUCCGGCUCUAGUCCUACGUCCGGACGCGACUUCUGUUUGCCCGCACCCACUUCAAUCGCGAGCGUACGUUUUUCAAUAAAAAACCCGCACCGCACGCAACCACGCCCAUCGACCAUCCCUCGUUCGUACGGAGCCAGGGCUCGCCCAUCACGUCGUCCACCGUCCAUCCCUCAUCCGUACGGACGCCCUGCUGGCUCGCCCAUUGCACCCACCGCCCAUCCCUUGUCUGUACGGACGCCCUGCUGGCUCACCCAUUGUGUCCACCGCUCAUCCCUCGUUCCGUACAGAUGCCCUGCUGGCUCGCUCAUCGCGUCCAUCGCCCAUCCCUCGUCCGUACGGAUGCCCUGCCGGCUCCAGAAGAGAUGACGCAGCACAAGGUGGAAGAAGGAAAAGAUGCAACACCCCAAUCUAAUUUUGAAACAUCCAAACUUAAUAGUUGCAACAUAGCCUAAAAGUAGUUGAAACACUUGAAACACGCUUAUGAAACACUUAGAAAACACACCUGAAACACACUUGAAAAUCCAUUGCUACCAUAUGCAACAUUCGAAUAGAACACAUGCAAACAUAUGUGUAGAACAUCUGCAAUAUCAAAUAAACACAAUUACAACAUGCAUUCGGAAAACACAAAUGAAACAUUACCGCUGAAAUAUCUGAAACACUCGAAACAAUACUACUGCAACAUGACUCUUAAACGAUUGCAACAUAUGCAACAAGUGCAACAUCCCCCGAUCUACUUUUGCAACAUCCGUAUGAUUCAACUUCAACAUGUCUCUGAAGCGAUUGAAACAAUUGAAACGUAGAACUGCAACAUGGAGAGAGAGAGAGAGAGAGAGCUUGACGUGGGGAGUACCAUGGCCACGAGGAUAGGGGGAGCUCGGGUCACAGAGUGUGAGAGAUGAUGCCACUAGGACUAGGGAGGAUGCCGAGCGAGGGUGGGGAAGAGUGUCGCGCUAGGUUCAGCGGCUUCUGGUGGGAGAGGAUGCCACGCCAGGGGAGGAUGUUGUGCUAGGGGAGGGUGCUGGGGGAGAGGGAGGACGGCAGGGGAGACACUGGGGCGAGAGAAGGACGCCGCGCCUUGACUCGUUGGGGGUGGAGGGCGCCGCGCUUGGGGUGGGGAAGGGCACCGCACGCAUCAGCGAGGGUGGAAGGGCAACAUGCGUGGGUAGAGUGUGGGAGAGGGCAUCGCACCAGGCUGGGUUGAAUCCUCUGGAGUUCGAGGAACGAAGGCGGCGGCUGUUAUUUUAAGAGGAAGAGUAGAGUCGAGUGGAUAAGGAUGCACCGCAUACGGAUGGAGCACGAUCAGCGGAAAAGAAAAGGGGCAGAGUGCGCGCGGUCUGUCCGGCGUGGACGGACGUCCGUCCUCGAUCAUUACCGUAAAAAUUUUUGCGAACUAAACAAGGCCUGAGAAUAUUUUGUGAAUAACUACUUGCAGAUUUCUGCACAGAAGAAUCCUAUCCCAACUCCCGGAAAGCAGACGAACGAGAUUGUGACAGCUACCAAGUGCUGCCAUCACUGCAAAUCGAUUCCAUUCCAACCCCACCCCAUCAUGUGAGCCCGCCAACCUGAUCAAGCACCCAUUCCGAUUGAACUGAAAAGAAAUUUCCAGAUAGCGUAUCCUGUCAUCAGAGAAGAAAACGCCUGAUCAAGUACCGGUAGUACACUCCGGCGCGAAUACAGAGCCGACACGAGUAAUUAAGCACCGCACUUGCUCUUGCUCCCCGUAAUCACCGAGAUCGCAAAAACUAAUCGCCGACGAAGACCGAUCUCCCAAGCCAUCGGCGCGACCGCGCGAGCAGGCGCUCCGCCUCCGCCACGUACACCCUCCCCUGCUGCCCAAACGGCCGAUCGAUCGGGGGAACAGGCCGCAGAGGAAUCCUUCGGUUCCAACGGCCAGGCAGCAAGCCGCAGGCGCAGCAGGGCCCCGCCACAUGACCCACACGCACCAGGUCGAGAGGGUUACCACCCCCAGAUGCUGCCUGCCGGCUGCCACAUUCGAGUCAGGCGGGGCGCAUGGCCUUCUCAUCUCGUGCGCGUGCGCGCGCGCCGACCCGCCGCGUUCCGCGGCGCCCGAUCGAUCGGAGGUGUACUCCGUUGCGCGAGCCGCGGACGCAUGCAUGCAGAUGCAGGGCGGGCGCCGGCCUCGCCUAUAAGUGGAACGGCACCGGUCCGGUUGGGUUCGUGUCCCGGGUCAGCACCCGCUCGAGAGUUUAUACCAGUUUCCAGCAUGCUCUACGUACGAGGUUACGAGGGGAGGGGAUACCCGGAGAUGGCGAUCGGUAAGCGGAGCGUGCACGGCGCCGCGCUGGUCCUGCUGCUGGUGGUCUGCGUCGCGGCGCGGGCUGUCUCGGCCGUCGGCGAUGGUGAGAGCCCUUCAACCGAAGCUGAUGCAUUAUUACUUGUUCCUCGCUGCGUGACUGAUUAGCUGGUCAAACGUAUUAGCAGCAUUAUUGUUGCAACUACCGGGCUCGAUCUGGUAGUUGCCCUAGCACGAGAGAUCUUCAUCUUUUGUUGCCAUAUCCCUCUAGCUAACACUGGCAUUAUGUUGAGAUGAGAUGCGGUUAGCUGUUCGAUCAUCGCUGUUGCUGAUAUAGUGAUAUCGCCACUAAUGUUUUAAGUUGUUUAGUACCAGGGGCGGAGCCAGGAUUUAAACAUAGAAGGGGCCGUGCAAACCAAAAACAAUCAUGUGUAUCAAAAUAUUAUAUGACAAAGGUGUACAUAGCACCAAAUUAAACGUUUGUGUUGCGAUGCAAAAAGCAGAAAAAAUAAAAAAUAAUAAAAGAGAAAUUUAACUAGUCUCAGGCCUCUAACCUUCACUUUGAUCAUUCUAUUUCUUUGCCCAGAAAAAGAAUCACAAUAAAAACAAGUAGUUAAACGGGGGCCAAAUUAAUUAGUACUACAUCCUAACAUCAAAUGACAAACAAUCAGUUACAUAUCGUUUAGUCUUAGACAAAAUGAUCACUUAAACAUGUAAAAAUGGUCAUUUAAAUAGAAGGUUAAACAGAAACACCAUACCACUGUUAGUGUUUAAAAGUUGAGUACAACGGGCUAAAUGAUUGUUUAGAGUUUAGACGAAUAAUGAUAGAAACAUAGGAGAUAAGAAAGAUAAUAGGAAGACUAAUGCUAAAUAAUAUAGAUCCUAUUGUUGGAGAUCAAUUCAGAAGGAUUAAACAAGAAAAACGCUGAUUUUCAAUUAACUAGCUAAUUAGAGUGUGCGGUAGGGGACAAACUGAUGUUUGAUAGGCAAUAAUAAAAAUAAAAGAUAUGAAGAAAAUUUUAGAAAUAUCUAUUUGUAUAAGAAACUAUUAGAGAUUAAUAUAAAAUAAGAAUAAAAAUCUUAAUACAGAUAAUAUCAUUAACUAGCUAAUUAGAUAAUUAAACAUCUAAUCUAUGAGUAUUAAGGGAGUUAUGGGAAGCUUGGGGGGUGCCAGGCCCCCCUCAGCCCCCCUUCCCUCCGCCACUGUUUAGUACUUUAGUGAAAGUACCAACAUUACCCGCACAAAAAUAUGGUUCAACUAUUGUCGCUUUAAGUUAGAGAAGCAUUUUCGUGGCCAUUAUAUUGUUAUGUGUAUUAGAACUUAAUUAGAAGAAGCUUCACGCAUGACAAUAAAGCUGCGUAUUGCUCAGGAAAAUACAAUUGUCUUGGUAUUGCAAGAAAUUUCCUCGUGUUACAUUUAUAAUUCGGUUGAAGUGCUUCCAUCAGGUGACGAUAAAAAAGGUGCAAAUUAGAGUUACAAAGUAGAAAUGGGCUCUGCAUGAAACAUUUCUUUUUCUUAAGCAGCAAACACACGAUAGACAAGAAAAGUUACACCAUAUAUAUUCGCAUUCUUUGAUAAUUUAUCUUCUUGAUUCGAUUCAUGUGAGCUUAAGUGUCAGUUAUUAAAGAAAACUAAUGUGUUGACUUGUCAGUUAAUGCUCCCAAAGAAAUCUGGGUUCUGCUGUCUCACUUGCGUAGGAAUAUGUAAGUCAGAGAAGCUGAACGUUCUGUUUGACUAGCACAAGUAUUUACAAAAGCAGAAUCUCAUCAUGCAUGAUCUGGUUCCCUCCUUAUCUUGUAAGAUCUGCAACGAUUCGUGAUGGGAUGGGAUUUUGUUUGCGGUGAUCAACCACAUGCACACAUCUGCAUUGUGUUGGCUAGCUGAAAUUUUUUCCACUUUUGUGCCGAUAUGUCUGCUGAUGCUGAAUCAUGCUUGGGACAGUGCACGUUAACCGACAUGAAGCCAUCAUGAGCGAUAGAGUAUUAGGCCAGCCUCAAUGCAUAGUUUCAUGACACAGUUACUAAGACUAUAAACUAGGUAACCAAGCCAUAAAAGUUUUAUGGGGAUAAAACUCCUCUCUCAUCUGAUGAAACUCCUUCAUUUAAUGACCCUGCCAUGUCAGCAAGGCCAGUCUCAAUGCAUGUUUCAUGGGAGUGUCAUGCACAUUAAAUAGGGUGCCACAUAAGCAAAAUUGCUGACAUGGCAGGGUCAUUAAAUGAAGGAGUUUCAUCAGAUGAGAGAGGAGUUUUAUCCCCAUGAAACUUUUAUGGCUUGGUUACCUAGUUUAUAGUCUUGGUAACUGUGUCAUGAAACUAUGCAUCACAAUGCAGACUCUAUCAUAGAGUCUAAAGUUAUUUAUUACCUCGAACAAUGUGGACUUGGAGUCUAAAUAAGACUUAGAGUCUUAUUUUUUUCUACCUCUUUCUUCAAUAAAUAUGCUGCAACAUCAGCAAAAUGCCAUAAAUAAUAUGUAGUUAAUUGUUUUGGACUCUGUGAUACAGUCUUGCAUUGUGAGUGCCCUUAUCAGCCUAAGAAUCACAAACUGGUUCAUCAUAAACCGUGUUAGUUAGGCAAGUCUCAAUGCAUAGUUUCAUGGCACAGUUACCAAGAUUAUAAAGUAGGUAACCGAGCUACAGGAGUUUCAUGGGGAUGAAACUCCUCUCUCGUCUGAUGAAACUCUUUCAUUUAAUCACUCUGCCAAGUCAGCAAUUUUACUUAUGUGGCACCCUAUUUAAUAUGUAUGAUACUCUCAUGAAAUAUGCAUUGAGACUGGCUUACAUGCAGAAGACGAUUCCACGUUCUUCUAUCUCUGCUGAGAUUCUGACUCAGCAUGCCAUGCCACCGUUCUACGCAGGUCCUCUACUGAACGGCAACUUCGAGGACUCGCCGAACCCCUCCCAGAUGAGCGGCUCGGUGGUGACAGGGGAGCACGCGAUCUCCUACUGGAGGACGUCCGGCCACAUCGAGUUCAUCUGCUCCGGCCAGACGCAGGGGGACAUGGUCUUGACGGUGCCGGACGGCGCGCACGCCCUGCGGUUGGGCAACGGCGCCUCCAUCGAGCAGCGGAUCAGCCUCACGCCGGGCUCGUACUACUCCCUCACGUUCAGCGCGUCGCGCACCUGCGCCCAGGACGAGGUGCUCAACGUGACGGCCGCCCCCGUGUCCGGCUCCGGCGCCGCGGCCCAGACCGGCGAGCUCCCCAUCCAGACGGUGUACACCAGCAGCGGCUGGGACUCCUACUCCUGGGCCUUCAAGGCGGAGGCCGGCCUCGUGUCCAUCAUCAUCACCCACAUCUGCGGCGAACAGGAAGACCCCGCGUGCGGCCCCGUCGUCGACGCCUUCGCCAUCAAGACGCUCAGCCAGCCUGAGGCCACGGGAGAUAACCUGCUGAGGAACGGGGACUUCGAGGAGGGCCCGUACAUCCCGCCGGAGUCGCCGUGUGGAGUGAUGCUGCCGCCGAUGGACCAGGACUGCGUCUCCCCGCUGCCCGGGUGGAAGAUCAUGUCGUACAAGAAGUCGGUCAAGUACGUGGACUCGGCGCACUUCGCGGUGCCGCGCGGCGCGCGCGCCGUGGAGCUGGUGUCCGGCGUGGAGACCGCGCUGAUGCAGGAGGUGUACACCACCGUGGAAGGGAGCUGGUACAGGCUCGAGUUCUCGGUCGGGGACGCCGCCAACGGCUGCGCGUCGCCGUCGUAUGACGAUGGUUCCUCGUCCGGCGGGAUGAAGGUGAAGGCAUACGCGGGGUCGAGCGAAACCACCGUGGACAUCGAUUUCCACGGCGCCGGCGGUUCCAAACGCGGGAAGAUCGAGUUCAGGGCCACCGCGAACCCCACCAGGGUGGUGUUCGUCAGCUUGGGCUACCACACCAAGUGCGACAACAGCGGCACGCUCUGCGGGCCCGUCGUAGACGACGUCUCGCUCGUCCCCAUACCGCAGCCGUAUGCUCGCCGGCUACUUCUCUAGGCGUGCGUAAUAACACAAAAACUUCUUUACGGCCGGAGGCUAUACUCAUGCCGCGUCAUUUUUUUGUAGAAGUACCCGUGCUGCUUGGGUAACGGACAGUGUGACUGUGCUGGUUGAGUAUAUAGCCCAUUUUGGCUUACCUUUUGUACUACUACAUUUAUUCGUGUUCCUUUUUUUCACUUGGUUCAUUACUGCGUGGUUAUUUUGAGAAAACAAAAUGCGUACACUGAAUUAAGUUCUUUUUAUUAAAGAAUUAAAAAAUGGUUUAAUAGUUGACUAAAAAUCCAAACUCACUCUUCCAUGGUUCUAUGUUACAGCAUGCCAAAGGACUCUAGCUCAAUUGAUUAGAGCUUUCCAGCGGCACCCCUCAGAUCCCUCACUGGUGUAGCUAGGGUUUAAGGGUUUUUUCACGGUCGAGAAGAAUUACUUUUUUCUUAAUGAAAUACGGUGGGGUCUCUCCUCCUUUGAUCGCGUUUUUUUAUUCCAGCAUGCUGCUAUCCCACUCCCAUUAAGGGGGUGUUUGGGACUGCCCUGCUCCACGUUUUUCAGCUCUACUCCAUAUUUUUUAGCCAAACGGUUUCAGCUCCACGCACUCAGUUCGAGGAAAAAUGGUGGAGUUGUGAGAGCACCUAAAGAGGUACUCCACAAACUCCAGUUUUUUUCGGAGCUGCUCUACAGUAGAGUUUGUAGAGCAGAGUUUGUGGAGCAGUCCCAAACACCCUCUCUAGCGCAGUUUCAAGUGGGAGUAUCCUACCUAGGUGCUUCAUACCCUAACCCCUGAAAAAGACUAUAGGCUAACUUUUUGUAAGGUUAUUUGGUCAUUUACCAAUUACAUUUGAUAUCUCCCCUAACUUAUAAAAUGACUCGAUCUCUUCACGGAAAGAAAAGGAGUAUAUGGUAGAAUAUCAGUCGCUAAUCAACCUACCAAUCUUUCAAGGCCCGAUGAAUGGAUUGGGUUCUCAAGUAGAUAUACACUAGCAGCGUGAGAAUGAGUUAAUAUUUUCAAUGGGUUGGGUUGAAUUUAAUGGAAAAUCAGGUUGUAUUGCCAUGUUGGGUUCUUUUUUGGGGUUUGAAUGGGUUAAGCUAAUAGAAAAUUGGGUUUGAUUAGUUUCCUCUUUUCUGGAUAUUAGAGGUGAUAACUGGCACGAUAUAGCUUCUUUAUUUAAUUAAAUCACAAAAUUUGACGGGCCUAUAUGUUGUUCUUGGUGUGCAAAUUGGCAAAUAAUAGCUUUAUGUCACUUAGCUUUUAAUCUAGAACUUUAAGGUGUAAACAAGAGCUUUUAGUUCUAAGGCUUCGGCUUUUGACGUGAGACGACCUACAUGCAAAUCUUGUCAAGUUAAUUGAAAUGAAAGUAGAUCUAGCCUAGGGUUUUUAGGUUAGAAAAUUGUUCCGACAAACAUCCCAUGGCCACACUGACAUUUUUUGCCUAAGCAGGUUGGUCACCCACUACUUUUUAGUGUGAAAAUAACUCAACUAAAUAAUAAAUUGGGCCAGGCUUAGGCCUAUUUGUUUUGUUUGUAAUCAUUGUUCAGUCUCUGUCCACUGAUAGUUGCAAGUUGAGCCAAGACUGUCGGGCUUAGGCUGGGCAAAAAUGCAAUGCAUAGCACAAAAGUAGCUUCAUGUCAUAUUGAAUCAUAUCCAAUAAGCUUCGGUUAAUUUUGUAAAAAGAUUAAGGUGUGAACAUGAGAUCCUAGUUCUAGGUCUGAUGUGUUUGAUCAUGAAGUGCCAAUUGCCUCGUAGUAGUUUCUUGAUGUAUUCCAAUUUCCAACAGAUUUUAGUUAAGUUUAUUAAUAUUUUAAGGUGUGAACACGAAACUUUAUUUUCAGGAUCUGGCUGUGACGUUGAACCGCAAAAUUUAUUUAAAUGCAAAUAUCUUUUUACACAAAUUCAUGAUUUUUACUAGUUGAUAGAUAGGAUUGAGUUGAGUUAAAAAUAAUAAAUUUUUGGGUGGCUAAAAGAGUUAACUUACUGUGUGUUGAAAAUUGGAGGGUAUAAGUUUUAACCCAUUUUAGCAGGCUAAUCCUUCCGUUACCUGUGACUCUGAGUCUGUGAUACUGAUUAGCUUCUUUUUUUAAUCUUAUACUGAUUACCACAUGGACCAAACUCGAGCUGGGAAUUGGGAGAGCAAAUAAGGCCGGGUUUAGUUUCUAAAAUUUUUUAAGAUUUCUCGUCGUAUCGAAUCUUUGAAUACAUACAUAAAUCAUUAAAUAUAGAUAAAAACAAAAAUUAAUUGCACAAUUUAUAUGUAAUUUGCAAGACAGAUUUUUUAAACCUAGUUGGUCUAUAUACAAAUGAAAGUGCUACAAUAGUUAAAACUAAAAAUUUUCGCCGAGCCGGUCGAUAACUCUGCACUUCCCCGGCAGGCCGGCGCCUUGAGAUUACCCCGAGCUCUGAAAUGGCCAUAAAAAAACUCCGUGAUUCUGGACGGCCAUGUGACCACGCAGCGUCUCAAGCACGCCGUCCCCAGUCACCACCCGGCUGAGCAGGUCGAACCUCGAACGGCCAUUCCUUUACCACACCACCGCGCUUCAGGUGUCAGGACCGCGCGCCGACGAUGCCCUGCUACCCCCCUCGUUCGUGGAAGCCCCCGCGGAUCCGGCGCACGUUUCGCUCUGUCGGCCUGAUGAAGACGCACCUUGGCCAACUUGGCUGCCAUGAUUGGCGGUUCCAACGACGAGAGACAGGGUUCUCGACGCCGCACGUCCCCCGGCCUAUAAGUGCAAAACUGCAACGUAGCCUGUGGCCAUCGACACAAAACACUGAGUGUUCAUAGGUUCCUGACGUAUCUGAGUUGCAUUCGAGCGUGUAGGUUGUUUCUUUGAGUUGGAGAAGGUAGACGAUGGGAAGGGGAAGCGAGACAGUGCCGAACGCCCGUCGAGCUGCGCUGUUCUUGAUCGUCUGCUUGGCGGCUCGAGCGGCUUCGGCAAUCCAGGAUGGUGAGAACUUGAUAAACUGUGAUCCCUAACUGCUUCGUGAACUCUCUUUAUGCCGUAAACUAGGAUGUCUCUGAGCAGAGCUUGAUAUACUCACUCGCAGUCUUUUUAGCUACAUGAUUUUGUAUUCAGUAAGCUCGAACUAUUUUAUAUAGCUUUUGUUUGUUUACAUUUUUUUUUCGAGCUAAACUUUUGUUUUAUUAACCGAAAUUGGGGGGCUCAUCUCCUGCAGUCCGUCCAUUUCUAUCGACGCUAGUUCAGACUAUCGUAUUGGCAAGCUGUUUGCUAAGCAGACAUGAGCUCUAAAAUGCCAGUUCUAACUUCUAGUUACGCGGUUCAUGCUCAGGCCUGCUGCCGAACGGCAACUUCGAGGAGGCGCCACCCAAGUCGCAGCUCAAAGGCUCGAGGGUGAUGGGGCGCAACGCGAUACCGCACUGGGAGAUCUCGGGGUUCGUGGAGUACAUCGGAUCCGGGCAGAAGCAGGGUGACAUGCUCCUGCCGGUGCCGGAGGGCGCCUACGCCGUGCGGCUCGGGAACGAGGCCUCCAUCCAGCAGCGUCUCGCCCUGACGCAGGGCGCGCACUACUCCAUCACCUUCAGCGCGGCGCGCACCUGCGCCCAGGCCGAGCAGCUCAACGUCACGGUCGCCCCCGAGUCGGACAUUCUCCCUAUCCAGACGGUGUACACCAGCAGCGGCUGGGACUCCUACUCCUGGGCCUUCAAGGCCACGAGCAGCGUCGUCUCGCUGAUCAUCCACAACCCCGGUGUCGCCGAGGACGCAGCCUGCGGCCCCCUCAUCGACUUGUUCGCCAUUAAGACCCUGCCGACGCCUCAGAGCAGCAAGAGUAAGAAUUCUAGCUAACACCUUCCAAUUCGAAGCCGCCAUGGCCACAGCCACAGGCGCUCCACCGCGAAACACGUACUGACGAAUGGCUCAAUUCUUGCAGAUAAUCUGCUGAAGAAUGGGGACUUCGAGGAGGGCCCGUACAUCUUCCCCAACACGCGGUGGGGGGUGCUGGUGCCGCCCAUGGACGAGGACGACUACUCGCCGCUGUCGCCGUGGAUGAUCCUGUCGUCCACCAAGUCGGUGAAGUACGUGGACGCGCCGCACCACGUCGUGCCGCACGGUGCCCGCGCCGUGGAGCUGGUGUCCGGCAUGGAGACAGCGCUGGUGCAGAACGCGACCACCGUUCCCGGACUGCCCUACAGGCUUCAGUUCUCGGCCGGGGACGCCGGCAACGGCUGCGUGGGCUCCAUGGCUGUCCAGGCGUACGCCGGGGGCAAGAGCGUGAAGGCGCAGUUCCAGUCCCAGGGCAAAGGCGGCCACAAGCGCGGCGUGCUGGACUUCACGGCGACCGCGGACCAGACGCGGGUGGUGUUCGUCAGCAUGGGCUACAUCAUGAAGCCCGACGGCACGCUCUGUGGACCGGUCGUCGACGACGUCUCGCUAGUCUGCACGCGGAACCAUCCUGCUCGCCGCUUGCUUCUGUGAAACUACUGGACAUGAUUCAUUCAUAGGUUAAUGUGAAUGACUGUGAGUGUGCUCGAACUCGAAUGCUCGGGCUUCAUUAACCAAAUCUUGGUAGAUUCCACGGUCAUCAUAUAUGUACUUGCAUCUCUGUUUUAUUUUUCUUAGCCAAAUGUACUUAUGCUUCGACCCCACUUCCAUUGUUGUGCACUCAAUUUCAAUCUAGUAGUGAAGGAUUUGACUGAUGUGAUUUUUUGGGCUAUGGUUACCUGGUGGGGGUCCAUUUUCUAUCUUGUUCACUUCAUCUCCUUUCUAUUUUCUUAGUGCCUCCUCCCCAUCCUGUAACUUUUCGGACUCUAUUUUCUCGCACUUUUCAUUCUUUCUCUCUCCUGACACGUUCAAUUUUGUUCCUUUUUAUUUCUUUCUAUUGCAUUUAUUUUCUCACUUCCUUUUGUGCUUUUAUUUUUUCUUGCCUUUUUAUCUUUUCCCUUUUUAUUAUAUGCUGAGAAAUUUGGUCGCAACAAAUUACAUAGAAAUUGUGUCGGAUAAAUUGUAUGUACAAUUUACAACAAUAAUUUAUGUGUAUACGUUAUUUUAUUAUAUAUUUUAUUAUAUAAAGUUGUGUUUAUAAAAGUUAUAUUGAGAAAUUGUUGUGAAUAAGUUUACCCUGGUAGUUAUGAACAAAAGUUGCACUUCAAAUUUUAUGUAGAAAAAUUAUUAUGAUAAGUUGUCUACAAAAUAUUAAAAAAAUAUAUUGACUAAGUUAUGCCAAUAAGUAUAUCUCGUAAAAUAUUGUACAUAAAUUUGUAUAUAGCUUUGGAACUUUCUAAAAAUAUCAAAGUUGUGAAAAUAAUUUUGUCCAGGAGAAGAAAAGUUGCGGACUGGUUCAUCGCUCGCUAUUUAGGCCUUGUUUAGUUCAGCUCAGAAACCUAAAACUUUUCAAGAUUCUCCGUCGUAUCAAAUCUUUCGGCACAUACAUGAAGCAUUAAAUAUAGAUAAAAACAAAAACUAAUUGCAAAAUUUAUCUAUAAAUCGCGAGACGAAUCUUUUAAGUCUAGUUACUCCACCAUUAGAUAAUGUUUGUCAAAUAAAAACGGAAGUGCUACAGUGUCAAAAUCCAAAAAAAAUUGGAUCUAAACAAGGCCUUAGAAACCAAUGAAUGUUCAUAAAAUAUUAUGCACAAAAAGUUAUGCGCAUAACUUAUAACUUUCUAAAAAAAGUUCAUGGUAAUAAGUUUUGUUUUGUAAAAUACUAUACAUAGAACUUAUGUGUAUAAUUUUGUCACGUACUCUCUCCAUGUUUCUAAAGAAAGUCGUUUUGGAAUUGUCUUAAGUCAAAUAUUUUAAACUUUCACUUAAAUAAUUUUUUAGGUUAAGUUUGAAAAUAUGAAGUGAUGUAAGUAGAUUCAUCUUGAAAUAUAGUAUUAUAAACCGUGUCAAUGUUUUUGAAAUAUAGACUAUGUUUUACAAAUAAUUUAUUAAAAAAUUAGUAGUCAAAGUUGUUUUUAGAACCGUGUUGAUGUCCAAAAUGACUUUUUUAAGACAUAGAAGGAGUACUAAGUUAUGUGCGUAACUUUGUCACGUAGUAAGUUUUUUUUUAAAAAAAAAUUGUCACAUAGUAAGUUAUACAUUUAAGUUAUAUGUAUAACUUUGUAAGUUUCAAAAAAGGUUAUCAAGUGUCUAUUCACUACCCUAUUAUGAAGUAUAACUUGUUACAUGUGAAAUGCAUAUAGAAUACUAUUGUGAUUGAUCUCUUGCACCUGGAAGAAAUGUAUAUUUCCUUAUAUGAAAGCUUCUGUAAUUUUUGUGAGACAUAGCAACUCGUUUGCAUUUAACUAGUUUUAAAAAAUGGCUCUGCAUUGACCACUCAGGACUGUUGGGAUUUGGCCAUUUGGUAACCCCGAAGCUUUUUAAUGGCAGUUUGGUAACCCCGAAGCUUUUAAAUAGCCGUUCAACGUUACUCUACAAACUAAAACUACUACUACUACUAGGUACGUGUAUAGUAGGUGGCCAGGUCCAUGUGAGUUGUGACUUGUGAGCUUAGCAGACGCAGACACACAGGCUUUAGCCGCGCCAUCCCCAGUCACCACCCGUCCAGUGAGUGCACCACCACCGAACCCCACCUCAGGUCGGAGGAUGUCCUGCUAUCCACCGCGAUCGGGCGCGGGCUUCGUUCAGCCUCGUCGAGACGCACAGGGCUAUUUGGCCAAUCACUAAUCCUGUCUCGAGAGACACUUCACGAGCACGUCUACUCUAUAAACUACUGGGGUACUGGGGUAUGCAGAUUUCGUAUUGGUCCUUCCAUCCAAGGAAAAGGAGUGUCGACAGCACUUGUUCCGCCGGAGAAGACAGCUGAUGAGAGGCGAAAGGGAUAUGGUGCAGAACGCUCCCCACGCUGCGCUGUUCUUGCUCGUCGCCUUGGCUGCCCGAGCAGCUUCGGCCAUCCCGGACGGUGAGACCUUGGAAACUAUAUAUGUCAUGUCUUUCGAAAACUCUUUUUUUUUUUGUUUCUGAUUAACAAAUACUCCCCCGUCUCAUGAGUAGUAGCGUGAUGGAUUUCUGACGGCGCCACCAGUUCACGUGACGCCCCCGUCUCGUGCUGUGUCACACGCGGAUGAGUUUCUGAAUAAUGCUUGUAUGGCGCUGCUCUGCUCUCAGGCCUGCUGCCGAACGGCAACUUCGAGGAGGCGCCGGCGAAAUCGGAGCUCAACGGCACGCGGGUGAAGGGGCGCGACGCGAUCCCGCACUGGGAGAUCUCCGGGUUCGUGGAGUACAUCGGGCCCGGCCAGAAGCAGGGGGACAUGAUCCUCCCGGUGCCGGAGGGCGCCUACGCCGUGCGGCUGGGGAACGAGGCCUCCAUCCAGCAGCGGCUCGCCGUGACGCAGGGCGCGCGCUACUCCGUCACCUUCAGCGCGGCGCGCACCUGCGCCCAGGCCGAGCAGCUCAACGUCACGGUCGCCACCGACUCCGACGUGCUCCCCAUCCAGACGGUGUACACGAGCAGUGGCUGGGACUCCUACUCCUGGGCCUUCGAGGCUACGCGCAGCGCCGUGACGCUCAUCGUCCAUAACCCCGGCGUCACUGAAGACCCGGCCUGCGGCCCUCUCCUCGACGCGUUUGCCAUCAAGACUCUCCAGCCUCCUCCUGUGCUCGCCAAAAGUAAAGAUUCUGGCAUGUUGUUCAAUUGUUCAGUGUUCAACGAAACGAAAUGAUGCUGAGAAUUGCAUUGCCGAAUGGCCCUGCUGCAGAUAACAUGAUCCAGAACGGGGACUUCGAGGAGGGUCCGUACAUCUUCCCCGACGCGCCGUGGGGGGUGCUGGUGCCGCCAAUGGACGAGGACGACUACUCGCCGUUGUCGCCAUGGAUGAUCCUGUCGACGACCAAGUCCGUCAAGUACCUGGACGCGGCGCACUACGCCGUGCCGCACGGCGCGCGCGCCGUGGAGCUGCUGUCCGGCGUGGAGACCGCACUGGCGCAGGACGUGGCCACCGUGGCCGGGCGGCCGUACAGGCUCGAGUUCUCCACCGGGGACGCCGGGGACGGGUGCUCCGGCUCGUUGUCCCUGCGGGCAUAUGCGGCGAGCGGUAGCGUGACGGUGCCGCACGAGUCACAGGGCAGGGGUGGGCACAAGCGCGGCGUGCUGGACUUCACGGCGACCGCGGACCGGACGCGGGUGGCGUUCGUCAGUAUGGCCUACACCAUGAAGAGCGACGGGACGCUCUGUGGGCCCGUCCUCGACGAUGUCUCGCUCGUCGGCUUGCACAGCCGUGCUGCUCGCCGGUUCCUUCUGUAGUUCUGUGACAGUAGUUAGUUAUGAAGUGGUGACGUGUUCAAACUUCAGAAUAUGCUUGGGCUGUUGGGACUCGACUAAGGUUGGGGGCGAUGAGCUGAUUUACCAUCAUAUAUUUUUCUUUCACCCGCAAGUUUUUUUUUUUCAAAAUUAAGAAUCUUAUUGUCGGUAUAAUUUCAAAACAAUUGUUCGGCUGCUUGUUUCAGCAACGCUGCAGCUGCAGAUAGUACUGUACCGUACCCACAGUGUUUACUCUCUUGCCGCUUGCGCCAAUCAGCCGCGGAGGCCCAUGAAAAUGGGAAAAGGGAUUACCUGGACAUACCUAACUGGGCCUACGUGACAUAAUCCGGUAUUGUUCAGGCCCAGCCUGCGAGCCCAGUACCCACCGGCCGACGCCGACGCUUUCGGCUUUCCCGCGUGCUGCCCGUGAGGCAUGAGCUGCCGGCGCAUACAACCGGGCUGGGUACAACCGGAAUGGAAGCCGAAUCUUGCACUGACGACGGCGCCUCGUCGGGCAAGAACUCCACGUGACCUUGUUGCUGCCGAGAUCCGAAGCUGCCAAGAAGGGCCAGGCAGGCCAUCCUCUCUCCCUCCCUCGCCCCAUCGACCACUACUAGGGAUGCCGCCUGUGCGCCUGUGGUGCGGCUCCGCUCCUCGUGCUCCGCGCGCGACUCAGAGUUCCAUCCAAACAGACGCUAUAAAGUGGAGCAGGCGUCGCGCUGGGCUCGUCACACUGUUCCGUCGACGAGAACUCGAGAAGGCUACGCAGGGACGAGCCUGACAUGGCGGAGAGCGGGAGCUCACGUCGUGGCGUGCUGCUGUUCUUGCUCGUCGGCGUGGCUGCGGCUGGAGUGGCUUCGGCCAUCCCUGACGGUGAGAUCCCGCAAACUGCUACGACUCCAAUGCUGAUUACGUGUCAUUUGAUCUUAUAUGCACGCACAGUAUACUGGUGAGAAUUAAUGAGCUUGCAUAUUACAUUUUAAGUAUUCGACUAUUGGCGCCACGCCAUCCAUAUUUCUUUAUCCCUAUAUACUUCACACACAUUGGCAUAAGUUUGUUGUCGUCAAAUAUCUCAUCGUUUGCACUUACUACACUCUCCAUCUCAAAAAGUACUAUGUAACUCAGCGUGUGUGCUUGGAUCCUGUUUUGGUGACCUACAAGUAAAGUUUAGGUGGACUAAAAUUUAGUUAAGCUAAAGUUUAGAAAGACCACUUUUAGUCAACUAAGUGGUGUUUGGAUGUAUAGACUAAAAGUGGACUAAAAGACAAAGAUCCCUUAGGCUUAGACUCAUGGACAGCUUUUAGUUCACAUUAGUCUAUAUUUGCCAACUAAUGAACUAAUGUCUAGUUGGGUGUAGACCUAAAAAUUAAUUCACUUUUAGUUCACAUAUUUGGAUACCUUGGCCUAAAGUUUAGGUGACUAAAGUUCGUUGGCGGUAUUGAACAGGCUCUUAGUCAAACUAGUUGAAGUAGUGUAACCAAAUUUAUAGAAAAAACAUUAGCACUUACGAUUUUAAACAGUUAUAUUAUGAAAAUGUAUUCUAUAAUAACUCAAAUGAUAUAUUUUUUUGCAAAGGGUAGGGGGAUUAUAUUAAGACUCGACAUAGUAUAUCUCCGAAUUAUACAUGAAAAAAUCUCUAAUUAUACUUAUGGGUACCAUAAAGAUACGUAAGUGUCUUUAUGAAUGAUGUCAGUUUUAAGAUAGUCUAUUAGCUUUGUACUAUGCUAACUAGAGUUGUGCCUUCUUCUCUUUUUUGAACGGAGAUAGUACUACGGACCUUCCUGUUCCUUUUUGAAAAGAAUUUUGCUGUCCGCCAAUGUUCAGGCGCUGUCUAGAUUGGGAUAAAUGAGAUAACACUGUCAGGACUGGAGUAUCACGGUAGCCCUUUUUAAAGAAACGGUACAUGAUUCAUAGGCUCAUAGCUAUCAUGGUCACAGAUUCCCAGAAAGAAGUUGAGUCUCGUGGGAAGUACGUGAGCGUUGACCCAUGAGAAUGGAGUAAUAGAAGAUACUGUAUCGAUCACGCUAUUGAGAUAGAUUGUGAUGUGGUGUAGGAUUAGGAAAGUGGUGCGCGCACAUGCAGCUCCAAAUUCCAAUAUAUGCACAUGUUUAAUCACUUAUUAGACUAAAAUAAUACUGGUUGCUAGUAAAUUUUAGACUAAGUGGGACUAAAAGGUGUCUAUGGGGUUUUUAGUAGAAAGAUUCAAACAGCGUCCAACAAAACUUUACUUGUCUAAUCUAAUUUUUAAUUUAAGCUAAUAAUUAGUCCUCGACGACUAACUUGUUCAUCCCUGGUGGCCAGGGCUACUGCCAAACGGUAACUUCGAGCAAGGUCCGGACAAGUCCCAGAUGAACGGGUCCAGGGUGAUUGGUCAAAACUCCAUACCCUGCUGGGAGACCUCAGGUUUCGUGGAGUACAUCGAGCCCGGGCAGCAGCAGAACGACAUGGUCCUGGUGGUGCCUGAGGGCGCACGGGCCGUUCGCCUCGGCAACGACGCGACCAUCCGGCAGCAGCUUCCAGGCCUGACCCGCAGCAUGUCCUACUCCAUCACCUUCAGCGCGGCGCGCACCUGCGCCCAGGCCGAGCAGCUCAACGUGUCCGUCGCCGCGGAGUCCGGCGUCCUCCCUGUCCAGACCGUGUACACCAGCAGCGGCUGGGACUCCUACUCCUACGCCUUCAAGGCCAGGCACACCGCCGUGUGGCUCACCAUCCACAACCCCGGCGUCGAGGAGGACCCGGCGUGCGGCCCCAUCAUCGAUUCCGUCGCCAUCAAGGCCCUCCACCCUCCCAGCCGCGUCAAGGGUACGUAUCAUUGAUUUCUGACCUCAAAUCAAAUAAGCUUCAAAACAGACUGUGACGAUUGUUUCUCUCAACUACUUGCUGUCUGCUCUCUCGUGCAUACUGCAGACAAUAUGCUGAAGAACGGAGACUUUGAGGAGGGCCCGUACAUGUUCCCGGACUUGGCAUGGGGCGUGCUGGUGCCGCCGAUGGACGAGGACGACGUGUCUCCGCUGCCGGGGUGGAUGAUCAUGUCGGACACCAAGGCCGUCAAGUACCUGGACGCGGCGCACUUCGCCGUGCCGCACGGCGCGUACGCCGUGGAGCUGGUGGCCGGCACGGAGGCCGCGCUGGUGCAGGAGGUGCAGACCAAGCCCGGGCGGUCAUACAAGCUGUCCUUCUCCGUCGGGGACGCGGCCAACGGGUGCGCGAGCACGCUGCUCGUGGACGCGUACGCGGCGCGGGGCAGGCAGCCGGUCUCGUACGAGUCCCACGGCAUGGGCGGGUGCGUGCGCAGCGAGUUGGAGUUCGCAGCGGUGGCAAACCUCACCCGUGUGGUGUUCCAGAGCAUGGGCCACUACAUGAAGCCCGACGGGACGCUCUGCGGGCCGGUCGUGGACGACGUCUCCCUCGUCAGCCUGCCCAGACACGCAGCCCGCCGGUUGCUCAUGUAGGGACACAUUUUUGCUUUGCAGACUGAGGCCUGGUAGUUCCUAAAAUUUGCUCAUUUUUUUUAAAAAAAUUCUCCAUCAUAUCGAAUCAUUGGACGCAUACAUAAAACAUUAAAUAAAAAUAAAAAUAAAAACUAAUUAUACUUUGUCUAUAAUUUGUCAGAUGAAUGUCUAGUUAGACUAUCUCCAACAAUCCUCACCCAAAAUACAAGACACAUUUGUUCUUUGGAUAGCGCUACAGUCCAAAGGUUCAAUACAUAUUUUUAGUCUUCUCCAACAACAAGACCUAAAAGACAGUCUGCAAAUAGGUCUCGAAGAGAGAGAGGAUACCUAAGUUUUGAUUAUGUCUCUCCUGAUACCUAAAAUGGUUCUUCAAUAUAGGUACUCUAUUAGAGGCUAUAGGUAUUGUGUUGGAGAUUUAUUUUAGAUUUGGGUUCCCAAAUGAAUCUCCUAUUUAAGACAGCCUUAGUCCAUAGUUAGAUAGUAAUUAUCAAAUACAAAUGAAAGUGCUACAGUAGUCGAAACUAAAAUUUUUCACCAACCAAAACAAGGCCCGGAAGAUAGGGCCAGAGGGAGACAGGAAUCACAACCACCACAUCUCCAGAAUGGAACAUGUUAGGUCAGUCUAAAUGGAGUUUUAUUAGAGUUUUAUAUUCAUAUUAAAUAUGCUGAUAUGACAUUGUAUUAAUGAACAGCGAUGAUAAGAAUUUAAUGAAAAUAGAGAGAGUUUUAUCCCAUAAACUUUUCUAUACUAUUUCUAAAAUAUAAAUGUGUUAGAAUCUAGGCCAUAAAAACCCACUAAGGAUGGCCUUAAGAGCUCUUCCAGCUCUAAACCAUUUUGCAUAAACAAACCUAUAGUCCGCCCGCGUGGAACAAUGUAUUGACUUGAUUGGAAAAAACUCAAAAGCAAGCAACGUAAAAUGUUUUUUUAUUGUUCAUUUUUGUUUACUUUCAUCACUACUAGUUCUACGUGCAAUUGCAGCCAACAUCUGCACUGGUGCGAUAUGGUCUUUGUAUCUGACCAAUAAUUAGAUUAUAUAAGGGUUCAUAUACACGUGUGUACUUAUUUUCUAUCAACGCACGCACAUACGUACUCUAAUAAACACUGCCUAGAGAAUGAGCCGGUUUUUCGAAUCAAAUUGAUAAAUGCAGCGCAAUAGGACCGGAUUUAAAGUUGGUGCAUGGUUUGAAAAUUGCUCCAGUUAAUAUAAACAAUUAAACUUGCCUGGUUUUGAAUGAAAAGCAAUUUUAUCUCAGUUCAUUAACAACAUGGCAUAUACUAUAAUAAAAUAAGAUUUAAUCACUUCCAAAUAUAGCUAAAAAAAAGUAGAACUAGGCUCCACCCCAUCAUAGGAGCUUGUAAUCGAUGAUUAUGUCUCUUGCUAUUGAAAAAAUAGCAUUGAGUGUAAAAUUAGCCAAAAAAAAUUCUAAAGAUAAAAUUGAAAACACACCACCACGGAAUUGACCCAGAAACACCAGCGCCUUUGCAAGGAUUGUGUUUUCUAAAAGGAAGUUUGGUCCCUCCUAAAAUAGUGGUUUGGCUUAUCAAUGAUUGUGUCGGUGUUUUGUAAAUAAGACUAGUAAAUUUAUACAAUUGCUGUUCUAGGAAGAUGAUGGUGACAUCCAAAAGACACGAGGAUUUAUACUGAUUCAUGCUGGAGUCCUACGUCCAAUCUUAGAGAUGAUCGAGUGCAUAUUCCUUGCUUGAAUGCUCUGAAGUUUUUAUAAUAGGGGGUACAAGAGUGGUGAAAGAGGGAGCAAAACCUAUGCUAGGCGAGGGGCAGCCCAAAGGGAAGCUUCAAGAGCCCUACUGCUAUGGAUGGAAAGGUAGAGGAUGAAGAAUGUCAAGAUGAUCCUAGAAGGGCGCCCUGGCUACCCUUAUAUAGAGUUUGAGGCUAGGGCUUGAUACAAAGAGGAGAUCCUAGCUAACUUGGCUUGCAAGCUACGUCGUCUUCUGGGGCUCGUUCGUGCGGGUCAUCGUCAUGGUCUUGUGGCCAUGUUACGGCUGGGCAAGAUGUGGUGCUACUAUGUUGGCCAUGGCAACACUGUAGCCAUGGUGAUGGUUUGUCACUUGUCCUGUGCAACGCGACAUCCGUUGUGGUCUUCGUCGUCGCCUCCAAGUUUCCCAGGGCAUCGUACUCAUAGUAGGUAGCCUCCCGACAUCAUUGUUCGUCUAGCUACCUCUCGGGAUUGAGGGCCAUGACCCCAACCAUUGGGGUCGGGGCUUUUCAACCGGUCUGGUAAGCUUCAACGUGAGACCCUAUUCGUGGCUCCCACUUCAUAGUGGCCAGGACCAUAUACCUGCUUGGUUGGGCCAUACCUAGUCUGUGGUUAUCGUACCCGUUGUUACCGCCUCGAGGCACUGUUGUCUUGUCUAUGCAACAUGGCACAAGGUUGGCGUCUGAUUGGACUGAGGUAACUAUUGUCACCUCAAUCCUUUUGGGGUGAGUGCGGCGUGCUUGCCCCUAUCAAGGAAAGCUCGUUUGUCGAGGCAUAACCUCUUUCUAUCUCUUUCGGAGGUGAUGAGGGAGAGAAGUCGUAUGCCUUGCGACCGUGGAGAGACCAAGGUGGACGACCCUGGCAUUAGCACCUGUACUAACCUGUUUCGCUUCUACCGGGCUCAUUAGUUUGGGCCUUUGUCUGUUGUUGCGUUCUGAGCUAUAAGACCCGCCAUCUAAUCGAUGUCUUGGGAUACCCUGGGUCAUAACCCCGAUAGAUUGACACAGUUAGAACGGUGGGAUCACUCCGCACUUACUGGCAUAAGUGCCACGCUAGGACGGACAGAGGCCAGAGGGAAGUGUUUGACGGUGUUCUGAUCACUUUUUGGUGGAAUAUAUGGAAGGAGCGAAAUAGAAGUUUUUUUAAAAAACAAAACAUUGCAACCAAGACAAGUGGCCCUGCUGUGCAAUGAAGAUUUAGGGCAAUAUUAGUUGGCAAUAAGACUCUAGGAGUUGUCAUGUCUUCCUAGUGUUUGAGUUUAGGUUUUUCGGCCCUAAAUGUUCUAGUUAGGUGGUCGGCCUGCAUACCGAAGCAGCGGUUAGUUUGGUCUCCAGUUUUGUUUUGUAAUAAUUUUUUCUUCGUCUAAUAAAAUUCUGGCAAAUCUCUUGCCACCUUUUUAAAAAAUAUAAAAUUGAAAACAAAAAAUGACUAUGCCGCCUCCACCACACACUGUUGCCCUCCAUGGAAGGCUUUGCUCGUUACACCACCGCUACCACUUGUGCUAAGAUCUCUCGCCUCAUCUCAAAUCUCAAUACUAACAGAUGCGUGGUCGUCUCCGCAUUUCGUGCCCCUGCGCGAGGCUCGCGCUAGCUCUAUAAGUAGUUACACGAGACUCGGCGCGGCCUUGCUCGUGAGACUGUUCCAUCGAGCUAUACCAGCUCGAGAGCUCGGUUGGCGUCCCCGAAGCAGCUCGAGAGCUCAGUUCGCUUCGCGUCCCCAAAGGAGGGAGGCAUGGAGCUCAUGAGAAGGGAACCUCAACAGUCAAGCAUGGCGGGCCGCACGAGGUCACGUUGCCCCGUGCUGCUGCUCUUCCUCGUCGGUGUGGCUGCUCGAGUGGCUUCAGGCGUCGUCACCGACGGUGAGAUCUAGCGUACUACAAGAUCCUCGUAUGACUUGCGCAUAAGUUAGCGGUGGUAUAAUUCACACAAACAGCAGCAAGUUCACUUUUAAGUUCCGUUCUAAGCUGCUGAAUGCUGAGCUUGCUUCAUUUUCUUCUUGCUAUUUUCAGUUUUAUCUAGCAAUGUCAAGGUGCUGUUUAAAUUGGCCGAUGAAAUGAAUCAAUUCGAUGGUCGCGAGAACACUUGCAAUAUUUCUAAUUUCAGAACAAACAGUAGUUAAUUAGCUUCAGAUUCUCAAUCUGAACUAGUGAUGAUACGAUCAGUUUGACGACGAUUAAAUAGUGAUGUGGAGUAAUGAAUUUCAGCCUUAAAAUCCGAAACAAAAUGUACAACAUACCAUUUCACCAGCUGACCUGGCCCCCAGCACCCUUCAGUGUAUGUUUAUUUGUUGGCUGAAGAUAGAUAGAAGAACAACCUGAACAGACCAAAACGUAUCUGCAAUGUAAAGACUGCUUCACCAUUUCAUGUCUGAACUGAAGUACCACAUUGUGCAAUUGUGUUCAGGCCUAUUACCAAAUGGCAAUUUUGAGUUCGGACCGGCCAAGUCGGAUCUGAACGGCACUAGGGUAAUGGGUCAAAACUCCAUACCGAACUGGGAGAUCUCCGGGUUCGUGGAGUACAUCGGGUCCGGGCAGCAGCAGGACGACAUGAUCCUCCCGGUGCCGGAAGGCGCAUACGCCGUGCGUCUGGGCAACGACGCAACCAUCCGGCAGAAGCUAAGCGUGAACCGGAAGACGACCUACUCCAUCACCUUCUGCGCGGCGCGCACCUGCGCGCAGGCCGAGCAGCUCAACGUGUCCGUCGCCGCGGAGUCCGGCGUCCUCCCGGUCCAGACCGUGUACACCAGCAGCGGGUGGGACUCCUACUCCUACGCCUUCAGAGCCAGGCACAGCACCGCGUGGCUCACCAUCCACAACCCCAGCCACGAGGACGACCCGGCGUGCGGCCCCCUCAUCGACUCCGUUGCCAUCAAGGCCCUCAACCCGCCGCAUCAUACCAAGGGUUCGUGACAUUUCCGAAGGUCGUUCCAAAGAAUUUUUCUGUUUCGGAACGGCAAACGGCCGGUUUAACCCCAUCGCGGCAUAUAUAUGCAGGUAACUUGCUGAGGAACGGAGACUUCGAGGAGGGGCCGUUCAUCUUCCCGGGCACGGCGUGGGGCGUGCUGGUGCCGCCGAUGGACGAGGACGACGUGUCACCGCUGCCAGGGUGGAUGGUCAUGUCGGACACCAAGGUGGUCAAGUACGUGGACGCGGCGCACCACGCGGUGCCGCGCGGCGCGCGCGCCGUGGAGCUGGUGGCCGGCAGGGAGGCCGCGCUGGUGCAGGAGGUCCGCGGCACCGUGCCCGGCCGGCGCUACCGCUUGUCGUUCUCGGUCGGGGACGCGGGGAACGGGUGCGAGGGGUCCUUGGCCGUGGAGGCGUACGCGGCGCGGGCGACGGCGAGGGCGACGUACGAGUCCCGCGGAACCGGCGGGAGCAUAAAGCGCGCCGCGGUCGUCGAGUUCGCGGCGAUCGCGAACCUCACGCGCGUGGUGUUUCAGAGCUACAACCACCACAUGAAGCCCGACGGCACGCUCUGCGGGCCGGUCGUGGACGACGUCUCCCUCGUCGGCCUGCGCAAGCACGCCGCGCGCCGGCUAUUCUUGUAGUCUGCGCUCUGCAGCAGUGGCGUACCUGCUGGUGCUUGAUGAGUUUGUAUUGGCAAUCCCGUACGUACAUGUGUAUGGCCAUUGGCCACUAGCUAACUGUACCUGCAAUGGCAAGCGGCGUAGAAUUUAUUUUGAUAUACUAUUCGAGAACCAGAUGUGCUUGUACAAUCUUGUGAUGGCAUGAUGCUGUUAUGCAUGGCUUUGACUAACGAUUGCGCCGAGGAACUGAUCUGCGAUUCAGAUGUACAGUACUGUACUUGUAAUCACACAGCGUCGGUGUUUUCCAAGGCUUUGACUUUGUUGUUCUUUUGUAUGGACAAAGUUUGCCUUUGAAAAUACUUUGGCCGGUGGGGAGCAUCUGGCCGAGAGCGGCUCUCAAGACGGCGGCAGACUGGCAAUGGCGACAGACCAUAGCUGUCGAUUCCAUUCGGUCAUUUGGAGGCCAUUCCCAGCUUUUGCAUCUGGAGUAGUGGAGCGGUAGGCCAUUACUCACGGUGGCGAGCUACGUUUGGAGGGCGCGCAGGAGCGGCAGUGGCCCGUGUCCAUGACCAGGUACCAGCGCGCCGCGACGGCGAGCUCCGGGACACGGCCGUCGCACUGGAUGGCACAGCGGCCGCGCGGAACGAACGAAACGCCUCGAAAGGAAUCUUCUACGCUGCGUUGGCCAUGCGAGCGAAACAGAGUGCCACGUGACCGCGCACUGGGACUGUCUCCUGGAACAGGAAGCAGCAGCAGGUCCCGACUCGGCGAGUGGAGUUGCCGAUCUCGAGAGCGUGAGAUGCUCACGAUUGACGAUCCGGCGCCAGCGGGCGCGUCACGCGUCCGUCGGCCUUCGCUAACCGGCACGCCCCCGGAUUACGCAAGGUCAACAGACCUAAUAAGCGGCACCGCUUAUAUAAGCUGCGCACCGGCCGACUGCAUAUAUAUCAGAGCUCCUGGUUUUGUUUUGCAGCUCACAAGGCGGCAGCUACAAGCUACCGCUGUAGAGUGUAGAGUACUGUAUGUUACACAAGGUUCCAGGUGCCAGGGCGACGUCGUCAACCGAAGCCGAGGGUAGCUCCGAUCCUGAGAAUGGAGCCCACCACCAUGGUCGCUCGACGAUCCGUGGCGUUCGUCAUACUCCUCAUCGCCGUGGCCGCUCGAGCGGUUUUUGCCAUCACCGAAGGUGAGAACUCGCAACCGAGUACUAAUGUUUUGUUUCUGGCGCAUCGGCUCUGGUUUGUACUAGUGUUGAUUUGUGCUUUGCGGUUUCCAAAUAUACCUUCACCAUCCCGUAUUCUACGUGUCUACGUACAACAUUUUUGCUCUCUUUUGAACCCGGCUAGCAUAUUCGCUUCCUGGAUCUUUCUAAUACUGCGUAAGGCAGUUGAGCAAGCCACGCUAAGUCAACUACUAUUUAGGAUGGCGUGUGAUCGUGCGUCCAAGUUCGAACUCCCUCUAGUUCAAACUUGGGUAACUAUUUCUUCUUGUUAGUAAUAAGAAAAAAAAACCUUAGUUACUCCGAGAGUUUGGAUCUAGUUUUCUUCCUAGUGCAACACAUGUGGUUGCUCUACUCAAGCCUUGUUUAGUUUUAUUUUUUUUCAAAAUAGACACUGUAACACUUUUAUUUGUAUUUGACAAAUAUUGUUCAAUUAUAGACUAAUUAGGCUCAAAAGAUUUGUCUCACAAAUUACAUGUAAAUUAUGUAAUUAGUUAUUAUUUUUAUCUAUAUUUAAUGCUCCAUGUAUAUGCCGUAAGAUUUAAUGUGACGAGAAAUCUAAAUUUUUUAUAUUUUUUUUUGAACUAAACAAGGCCUCAAUGAAAUACGUGCCGUCUCAAAAAAAAAGUACUUUAGUCCAAUGUGUACUCUACUCUAUAUAUCACCACCUAGUAUUGGUUUGUUAGUGGAUUCAUAGAAAAGAAAAGAAGUAUCGAUUUGUUAGUUGCAUGGUACUUCCUAGCUCCCCGAAAUAAUAAACGUAUUUAUAGUAGAAAGAGUCAAAUUCUAUAGAUUUUAUCUAACGAAUAUAUUAUAUAUUAUAUGAUAUUGACUUUUUAGUUAAUAUUAUUGUAAGAUUAGUUUGUAUACGUUUUUUAUAUCAAAGUACACUCGUUACUUAGGGGCGGAGAGAGUAAUAUGGUAUCAUAAUAUGCUAAGGGUUCUCCUAACCCAGAAACUAUGGGAUAUUAAGGCCUUGUUUACUUCCAAAAAUUUUUGCAAAAUAGAAAUAGUAGCACUUUCGUUUGUAUUUGACAAAUAUUGUCUAAUUAUGGACUAACUAGGCUCAAAAGAUUCGUCUCGUCAAUUCUGACCAAAAUGUGCAAUUAUUUUUAUUUUUAUCUAUAUUUAAUACUCCAUGCAUACAUCUAAAGAUUCGAUGUGACAGGGAAUCUGAAAAAUUUUGCAAAAACUUUUGGAGAACUAAACAAGGCCUAAGUCAUGUAGACACUAUAUGUAAAAAUCAUAGUUUCAAUGGAUGGUUUCUUUAAAAUUGAUUCUUUUGUUUAAUAAUGUGUAUUUUCUCUCCUCUAUCUAUCUAUCUAUCUAUCUAUCUAUCUAUCUAUCUAUCUAUCUAUCUAUCUAUCUAUCUAUCUAUCUAUCUAUCUAUCACAUCUCUUUUAUAUCUUGGCUCCAUGCAGAUAUAGUUUCUUGUAUAAAAAAAAUUCCUACCUAGGAGUAUCUCUUAGUUUAAAUGCAGUAUCAUCAUUUUAUUGGGGGUGCUAUAAAAUUUAUUGGGGGUGCAAUAGCAUGCCCUCGCAAAUAUCCUCGAGCGAGGCUUAUCGUGAGGUAGGGGAAAUAAGGUUAUUGUUAAUUUCCUAUCAUCUCCGGAUCACAGGUAGGUGGUGACGCCGGCGUUGGUUGGUCCAACGAUAUGACCGAGUCGUCUGAAACGCCGAAAUGAUCACGCACCAUCUACUCUGACAUGAAUGGCCGUCCAUAUGCCUUCGUACAUUUCUCUCGAGUUCAGACAAUUUGACUUGGACCAACCCUGUUGUGCAGGCCUGCUACCAAACGGUCAUUUUGAGCAAGGACCAGCCAAGUCGGAGAUGAACGGCACCAGGGUGCUAGGCCGCUACUCCAUACCGCACUGGGAGAUUUCAGGGUUCCUGGAGUACAUCGAGUCCGGCCAGAAACAGGACGACAUGCUCCUCCAGGUCCCGGAAGGCGAGCGCGCCGUGCGGCUGGGCAACGACGCCACCAUCCAGCAGCAGCUAGCAGUGACCCGGCACACGUACUACUCCAUCACCUUCUCCGCGUCGCGCACCUGCGCCCAGGCCGAGAAGCUGAACGUGUCGGUCACCCCGGAGUCCGGCGUCCUCCCCAUCCAGACGGUGUACACCAGCAGCGGCUGGGACUCCUACUCCUGGGCCUUCAAGGCCAGGCACAGCACCGUGUGGCUCUCCAUCCACAACCCCGGCCACGAGGAGAACCCGGCGUGCGGCCCCCUCAUCGACCGCGUCGCCGUCAAGACCCUCCGCUCUCCCCAUCACGUCAAGAGUAAGACCACCGAUUGCUCAUGCCUUCCUUUGAUGAACUUCUUGCAAGAAAUUAGCACUCACACUUGGAUUACGGCAUGGAUAUAUAUACAUGAUCUUACUGAAGCAGACAACAUGUUGAGGAACGGGGACUUCGAGGACGGGCCCUACAUCUUCGCGGACACGCCGUGGGGCGUGCUGGUUCCGCCGAUCACGGAGGACGAGCACUCGCCGCUGCCUGGGUGGAUGAUCAUGUCGGACACCAAGGUCGUCAAGUACGUGGACGCGCCGCACCACGCGGUGCCGCGCGGCGCGGGCGCCGUGGAGCUGGUCGCCGGCAGGGAGUGCGCGCUGGUGCAGGAGGUGCGCACCGUGCCCCGCCGCUCGUACAAGCUGUCCUUCGCCGUCGGGGACGCGGCCAACGGGUGCGAAGGGAACCUGGCCGUGGACGUGUCCGCGGGGCGCGCCGCGAAGCUGAACGUGCCGUACGAGUCCCACGGCACGGGCGGGUACAAGCGCGCCGAGCUCGAGUUCGUGGCGACCGACAAUCUGACGCGCGUCGUGUUCCAGAGCGCCAACCACUACACCAAGUCGGACGCGACGCUCUGCGGCCCCAUCAUCGAUGAUGUUCGGCUCGUCCCCGUGCACGCCCGCCGGCGGCGUAUGUAGAGGGCAUAGUAGAGUUUGUUUGGAAGAGUUUUAGUUUUCAAAACAUUAAUCUAGAGUACGUAUCAGCUUCACCAUGGAGGAGUUAUCUACCAUCUAGGCUUCCAACAUGGAACUGACAAGCCCUUUUGGUUUGCAGCGCAAUUGUGCGAAAUGGUGAAAUGCUGAUAAUAUGUCACUGUUGCAUUAAGUUUUUUUUUUCAAAUGGACAAAUAUCGUUUUUAGACGCUGUUUAGAUUAUGCAAAAUGCUAAAUUGUGAUGGUACAUCGCUACUUCAUUAAGCUUUUUCCAGAGAUGGUCAAACAUCAUUUUAGAGACAAUAUAUAUAGAUUGUGAAAACCAAGAUUUGCAGAGAUAGGAAGAGAAACUGACCCUGAAAAGAUAUUUCGAGAGGUGGGUACCUAUCUCUAGAAGUGAAAAACAAAACACAUCAGCCAAAAUCCAUCUUCUUCAAUUCCCACUGCUCUAGCUUCCCCAGGCGACGCUACUAUCCUUCACCUACUUCUCCCUAAUUGCUUCUCCUCGCAGGGGCUUUUCUACCACACAUAUUAGUGGGGCAGCGCCUCCUUGAUGCGUAAGUCUAUGCCUACAAGGAGGAUGGACAUUGUACAUAUCAUCAUUGGCUCCGUCUACAGCUCUCUAGCUUCAUCGAAAAGUGAUUGGGUUAUAGUUCAUUACUUACUCUGCGAUUGAAUAUGAUAACAUAAUAUCUUGGUUGUGAGCCUAAGGCAGACGAUGAGUAGAAGCACUCACUUGGGCCAAUAUUGGAUUUUGCAUUAGGCCUCACAUGCGGCUCUUGUGUGGGGUCACGAGCAAGUCCAAAUUCGACGAAGAUGACAAGAUGGCCACCCACUGAUGCUAAGAAAGGAGACGUUUGUCUCCCACAUCACCGUCACCAUAGACUUCAAGUUUGCUCCUCAUCAGAUCUGAGAUGAAUGAGAUGGGGAGGGACCCAUCUAACCAAGUCCAUGCCCCUAGCCUGAUUUGACACAAGGAGGCAACCUUGCUACCAGUAGAGGCUCACCAUGGAGGGCCACACCGCCAAUAGUAGAGGUCGCCUUGAGGGGCUACACCAUCGCUAGUAGGGAUCACCUCGCGGGAGCCACGCGUCAUCGGUAGAAAAAAAUUGUUACAUGGUUUAUCAGCUCUGUCUCUCUCCUCUCUCUCUCGCACCAGCACCAGGGUAAGAAAAAAAUUACUAUUAACUAGAUAGAAUUUCACCAUAUAUUGCUACCAAAUUAUAUAUGUCUCCUUAUAAGUGCACCACCAUGAAUUUGAGUUGGCUUCGCCCCUGCUAGUUUACAUAACUUCGAUUACAUGAAAGUAGGAUAAAUGACUCCGGAGUCUACCACCUAAGAUAGUAAUAUGUCGUCUACGAACUGGGUGUAAUUGUCUCAGUAGAAUUAGCACAAGUCCCUUGUUUCCAUCAUAGCUCCAUAUGCUUCUUUAUUAUGCCAUUUACCACCUGUUGGUCUCUCUUGCUUUCCUUUUAAACAUGAAUGUUCUUUUUCCUCCAUAAUUUCAUAUUAUCAGUAUGACCAAGGAUUUCAUUCUGGGCCUUGCCACUGUCGAUCCACCGAUUGCUAGAUUUAAGGAACCAUUGAUCCGUGCUUGUCAACUGGUCCCAGUUUGUCAGCAUUAGAGUCGGUGCUCCUAUCCAAGUCACCACUACUCCUUCUUCCUUGAUCCUCCUAGCUACGCAACACUCCUGGAACAAGUGUCUUAAGUUUGUUGUGAUCUUGAGAUUUCUCAUGCACAGAUGACAAAAUCAUUCAUUUGGCCACCCUCACAAUUGCAAUCUUGAUGAUGUCCAAAUCAUGUCCUAUAACCAGAGCAAUAUGAAGAACUUCACUUCAUCAGUGCCUCUCUCGGUCACCAUCAUAUGCACCAAGUGACCCCUUCAAACUACAUCAUAUACGCAGAUUUGGCCGAAUACUGACCAUCAGUUGUGUGUAGCAAUGUAAUCUUGUCUUUUUGUGACUCUACUAUAGCUCAACGUUUUACAGUUUCUCCUAUAAGGCCAUGAACUCGGUGAUAAUUUGUUGGUAAUGUUAGUGAUCUGUUAUCCAUCAUCAUCUUUGCCACAAUUCUGUUUUUUUAUAUUGCUAUGAUUGUAGAGUGAUGGGAAGAGGUAGGAAGGCGCCUCCACUUCGAGCCACCUCCCCUCAAACCAUAACACUCCAAUAUAUACUCCAUAAACCUAUCUGGGCCACGAGGAGCUUGAUAUUAUUUUUUUGAAUCAGGCUUUGUAAAACAAAGCCACCUUAUUUUUAGAAGCGCGUCAGGCGGUCCAUCUCUAAAAAAUAGAUUUAUAGAGACGAGCUUUAUCUAUUUGGCUUCUAAAUGACUUCUAGAAAUGACGGUUAACAUACCCACCUGUAUAAAUGAUAUCUUGACUCUUGAGUAUCCUCAAAUCCUUUUUUUAUAGUGUAUCAAUGUUCUGUUUUGACACAAGUGCUUGUCAAUAUUAGAACGUUAUUUGCAUCUGGGUUCCCCGAAGUGAAAAGAGGUACAAACAGGAACGUGGGCAUGUGUCAUGCCUUUACGGCCUUUUUUGUACACUGUACUUGUCUACUGGGUGAAUGCACAUGUCACUGCAACCACACAAUUCAUCUGAGCCAGUAAAAUUAGUCAACAUGUCUCUUUUUUCGGUGUCUUCAUUUCUCACUACAGAUUAAACCUCCAUUGUAUCCCCAUGUUGUAUACGUCUCGUGUUAGUUGAGUUCACAAAUGAUCUAAUUGAACUAUAAAUCAAUGGGGGAAAGUUUCAAUUAGAUUCUUUUACAAGGGUGUUUCACCAAGAAUCUACUAGUUAAGGUUACAACAUGACGUAGUUUCUCUUUUUUUACUACUCCGGCACAUUUUUACGUCAGUAGCGCAUCAUCACAUAGGUGUGUGACAGUGUCGUCGUCGUCCGUCUCAUAUUUAGAUUUUUGAGUGGUGACAUGGCACGUAUAUAUAACGUCGCUCAUGACCCUAGUGAAUUGAAGUGUUCCGCCCAUAUCUUCUUUCGACACCGAAGGGCCCUGCUUAUCGUGAAAAAAGUAGUGUACGGUAUUAUCAGCCGAUUUUUGCAACAUGGAUUAUCCUAAUUGAACCAUAUAUAUAUAUAUAUAUAUAUAUAUAUAUAUAUAUAAAGCCAGUGUGUGGACUCCUUAGAACUUUAAAGCCCUCUCUUGGCUUGAAUUUAGGUGUUAUUUCUUUUCUUAAUUAAUGAAAACCACCUAGUUCCUUCUUCUAGGUUGGAUCUUGUUUUUUUAACAGUCUAUUCUUAAUCUCAACUGUAAAUUGUAUGUGCAACAUUAUUAGAUAUAUGUGAUGACAACAACUGAAGUUUCUAGCUUAGUGAAGAAAAAGCAAAUAAUCAUGGAUCGAGUUCAGCAAAAUGCAAAAUCAUUGCCCAUAUAUAAUAACUAGAAAACUAGAAACAGAACUCCAAUUUAUUUCCAUGAAAUGUUACACUGCAAUUAUAUAUAAGCUAUGAUUUCACGCUGUUGCUCCCCUUUAUUGUUUAUUUGAUCAUAGACACACUGCAAAGAGUGCUGGAAGCAGGUACACACAUAUAUGAGCGAUGAACAACACAUCACGGGAAGGGUUCAAGAAAAGCUCCGGGAGAAGAAUAAAUUCAAAUAUUAAAUACUGAUGAGGUUUUCUCCUGACUAAGCGUGAAACAAAGCUAGUCGGAAGCUAGAAUACUGUCGUGGGCAACGUACGUACGUGCAUGAAACUGGAGCUGUGGCUCGAGAUGUCCGUCUGAACUCUGAAGACCGAACCUCUUCAGUGCCCAGGGCCUCUAGGGCUCGGCCCUUGAGUGAGCUGCGCUACCCACACCAUGAUCAGCGACCUCGCCCUCUCAUGCAGCAUACGGUGGCCGGCGUAUUGCUGCCCCUCCGGCAGCCGCCUGGCCGCCUCCACGGAAGUGAGUAGAGUGGAGGAGAGAGCCACGGCGAGGAGCAAAACAGUGAUCAGGAUCCCUGCUCUGAACUCGGACAUCUUGGGCGAGAGAUUGACGAAGAAGCCUACACCUUUCUUGUUCUAAUGACCUUACUUGUGAGUGCUAGCUUUUUGUAGUAAGCUAGCUACGCAGCCACAAACUAACAGGAGUUUAUGCGUUAGAGAGGUAGUAGCUUUUGUGGCAUUGGCAUGGCUCUAUAUAUAAGCCCGUAGCACGAGAGAAUUAGUUUGUCUUGGCAUGUUUCUGUGCAGUUUAAAAAGCAUUUCGGUCUCCUCCCCUAGCUACUGCGCUACGCUCCAUCCUCCAAGCGUAUAGAACUGCAUUGCUUGCAUAAAACGAAUCUUUGAACUGUGAGUUUGCCUUAAUUGCGGUAGGAAAAACGAGGCUGAUCGCUCGUCUUUUCACGCGCGCGGACAGUGGACAGUUUGCACUAGCUAGUAUAGAGCAUGCCGUUUUGUAGCUUGGUUUCGGAGCAUGCAGUUUUUGUUGUAGCUUGGUUUCAGAAGUGGACAGUUUGCACUAGCUUAGGCCUUGUUUAGAUACGAAAACAUUUUGGAUUUCGUUACUGUAGCACUUUCAUUUGUUUGUGGCAAAUAUUGUCCAAUAAUAAAUUAACUAGGAUCAAAAGAUUUGUCUCGAGAUUUACAGGUAAACUGUGCAAUUAGUUUUUAUUUUUGUCUAUAUUUAAUGCUUCGUGCAUGUGCCGAAAGAUUCGAUGUGACAGGGAAUCUUAAAAACUUUUUGGUUUUCGGGGUGAACUAAACAACGCCUUAGUUUUAGUGGCAUUAUAGGAAGGACGACGAUCAUGUGAGCAAAGGUUAAACUGUUCUUGUAAACAACUAGAUAUACUACAUAUGUGAAAAAACUAAUUACCUGAGCUAGCACUAAUAUAAUUAGGGGAAGAUGUAGUGUAGUGUAGUGUAGAUCGGUAAUUUAUCUUCUAGUAGGGGAUAUAUGAGCAUUUGAUAGCUAUGUAUCUUUUUUAGUAAAUUUUAAAAAAAAAACUACAAAUAUUUUUACAUAUGCACUAUUCAAGAACUACGAGAGUGCUCGACUGCACUAGCUGUCGCGCGCUGCGGCUACUGCAGCCACAUGCUUUUGUUCACUAUAGCAAAAUCAUAUGGUUGUAGUUGCAGCGGUACAAGCCUUUUUUUUAAAAAAAAAAAACUACACAACCUUAGCAUGUAGUUUUAGAAACCUAUAGAUUGACAAUGUGGCCACACAUGUCAUUUCCCUGGUUAGUUUCUAGUGUUAUAUUAUUGUAUUUCCCCCCUCUAUAUAUUAUAUUCAAUAUAUAUAAAGAGCAAUGUUAUUUCAUUCCCAAGAAAAUAAAAAAUGGCCCCAUUUGUUCACACAAUUAAAGACGUGGUGCUUUCUUUAUUUCCACUAAAUCAAUGUAACUUUUUCUCAUUUGUAAAAUUUCUAAUAAGUUUCAUGGUACAUUUUGGAAGACAAAUGCAUCUGGGGGGCUUUGGUUCAUCGCCACAUCUAAUUAACUAACCUACUACUUCCUUCGUCUCAAAUUAUAAAUUAUUCUAAAAAUCUUAGAGAGUCAAAACAUCUCAAGUUUGACCAAAUUUAUAUGAUAAAAUAAUAGUAUUUAUGAUACCAACUAAGUAUUAUUAGAUUUUUCAUCAAUUAUAUUUUCAUAGUAUAUCUACUUGAUCUCAUAAAUUUUUAUAAAUUUUUUCUAUAAUUUUGAUUAAACUUAAGAUGCUUUAAUUUUCUAAAAUUAUUUUUAUAAUGUCUCAUAAUUUGGGACGGAGGAUGAAGUAACUAUUAGCGUUUUUGUGGCCACCGCUAAGCUCCCUACAGCUACAGAGCAGCAAGAGAAUCCAGAGGAUUUUCUGAUUCGUGUCUCAUCCUGUACAACUCGCUCCGUCUAUUUUUGAGCUCCUCGCAUCACAUGAACAUGCAUAUGCUUUGCCGGAUCCGAAGGAGUACACACGAUCGAGACCCCGUCACGCGGUCGCAUUUAGAGGUCUCGGAAAUUUAGGUGGUGAUGGAUCGAAGCUGCGUCCGGACGCCUCCCCUGCCAUUUAUUGUUUACCUCCCCCGACGCGCACCGUCGUGGGGUGUUGGGUUUCAGGGCCGCCGGCCGGGCAGCGCCAAGCACAAGAGCCCGCAAUCUCGCGCCUCCUGCCGCCGAAUACCGUGGCGAUGGAGUACCGGAACUAACCGGCCUACUCCUAGUAGUAUAUCCCUAUGGCCUCCUCCAUCUCCAGGCAUUGACCCUACGCAUUUGUCUAUGGGCCACAUGCCGAGACGACAAGCCAUGCAACGUGCAACGCUGUACUAACUGCUCUAACUACCUGCCACUUGCAGCGUGGAGGCACCACAUGAAUACUACAAGUUCUUUUUUAUAUAUAUUUCCUUUUCUUUUCCGACCGCCUUAUUGUCCCUGGAUAAAAAGUUUUUACAUAACGUAACACUUUUAUUUGUAAUUCAUAAUUAUUAUCUAACCAUAAACUAACUGGUCUUAAAAGAUUUGUCUCGUAAAUUACGGACAAACUGUGUAUUUAGUUAUUUUUUUAUUAAUUGUACACCUUUAUUACAUAUGUAAAUUAUUGUGUACAAGCUAACUGAUCAUAGAUCAGCUAGUUAGGUUCCUUGUGAUAAAACCUACCCACCCGGAUUCAAAUCCUCGACUAGGUACAAGGGCUCGUAUUUUUCUUGAUUUAUUCUAGAAUUUAACGGCACUACGCUUUCCGUAGUAGGCGACGUCUCUCUUGACAGCAAGGCGUCAGUGGUGAGACUUCACGAAUCUCGAGAUCUAUCAGUUCAGUCUUUUAAAAAUGCUCAAAAAUAGUUGGGUGAAGACAGGAGAGACACUAUGGGGCGACAGAGGAGAGUCGACUAGCAACGAGAAAUAAGCAAGACUCUCGUUCCUAGUGCCAGCUCUAGUUCGAUCAUCAGGAUGCAAUAUGUUUAAAAGGUAAGGUAGUGGCAAAUGUCCAUUUAGGUCAGGCUCAAUGCUCCAUUGUAACUGGUCGUCUGGUCGUUUCAUAGUGCCAAGUAGGUUUAGACAACAUGUGGAAGAGAGAGAAGGUGUAGUGGCUUGGACAGAAAAUAUGUUGAUUUAAGAGCAUCUGCAGUGUAUAGAUGCGGGGUCAUCUCUUUAGGCGGGUCCCACAGUGAUGUGAUGUCUUCUUGUAUUUAGUUUUCAAUGUAUAGAGAAUCAGGUUUGGAUCUAUAAUUGGACCCACUAUUCAUUACCAUAUGCCAAUCUCUUCUCUUUCCUCGUUCUGACUUCGCAUCCGCAAGAGAGAUAACUGAAUGGGAGCGGGUUCAUUGGAUAGGAGCUACUUCAUCGAAUCAAGCAUGCACUGUAUAGAACUCGGUCCUAUAGGCGCAUUUCUUAGAUCGAAUCGGCUAAAAAAUGCCCAUUGCAGACGCUCUAAGGAGAUUGAAGGUGGUUUAAGGAAAGAGAAGGUGGUCCAUGUAGAGGGGAAAGAAGGGUAGUGAACAUUGACUUGCAUCAGGUGAGGAGGGAGUGAGAUGUUGGCUAUAUAGAAAGAUAUGUUGGCCUGAACUCAUUUGUAUCUAGGUGGAAGGUACCUUUCUUCUGAAGCCAACAACAACAAGAAUGUGUGCCUAAGUUCGACAUUAUCUGACAUGUGCUGGUAGAUGAAAAACAAAAAUAAAAUAGAAAAAAAUGAGAAUGUCUCUUGUAUUGAAAUAAUUGAUACAUAUGAUGCCAAAUAACCAAAAGACUUGCGGAUUGGAUCUCUUAUUUGGUGAGAUCCACGUAUUGGGUGUCAAAUUCUAAAAUGUUUCGGAACCACCUGGGUUCUCUCAAUAUCAUUGAGGACCUGUUCGGUUAUCAGGGAUUGGACACUGGGAACAAUUCCAACUUAGAAUGUUGUGCUAAUUUAUACUAACUUUGAUUACAGGGAAUGAUUCCUAGAGAAAUUAUGUCUAAACGGACGAGGCAUGAGUGAACAAGCCAAAGUCUAGGAGGAGGAUGUCGUGUUGCAAGAGAAAGCGGAAAAUGCUCGAUGGUUCUCAAGUCGAGUAGAUGAUUUUUCUUUUAUGUAUUGGUUUCACUAAGAUCAUAUAUAAAAGAAAAUAGGUCCUCUCUGUCACGUCUCAAAAGGAGCUUUAACUUCUAUGAUGUUGUAGCGCUAUGUUACUAUAGUGCGAAGUUGAUGAAACUGUUUCCCACAAAAUAAAGUUGAUGAAACUGUUUCCAACAAAAUGACUUGAGUAAAUGAUGAAGUCGGAGAAGCUAGCAUUUUGGAGCUUCAUCCGGCUCAUGCUACAUUGGUUUUUGAAGCUAAUGCCGUAGAAGCCCUACCAAAAUGCCAGCAAAUUUAGGAUUGAAUUUUUUGAAAGAAAUUACAGUGAUUUUGUCCGGCUUCCAAACAGGACCGGGGGCAGUUGUAGUACUCAUGCGAGCCCUACCGAAGCCCAGGCUGCAAAGGCCCAGCACAGUCAGCAAUUUAGCAUCCACUCCCCUCCACUCCGCACGAACGAACGCAGAUGGGCCUCAGCCCCUCGAAGCGCGUGGACGCCGCGCUGCGCCGCGCGCCGGCGUUCGCCGCCGCCUGCGACGCCGCCUUCGACCGGUGCCUCGCCGUCGCGCAGCGCCGCUUCCCGGGCGUCCGCCGGUACCAGCUCGCUGACGCCGCCGCGCACCUCCACUCGGAGCUCAGCGCGUCCGUCCCGCUGGUCCGGCGCUGGGUGCCCUCGCCGCCGCCCCGCGCCCGAGUCGACGCCGCGCUCCGCGCCGCUGGGCUAGAGGACGAGGCAGAGCUCUCGCGGCUCCAGUUCCGGGAGUUUGCCGUCGAGCUGUUCAGGGAGGCCGUGCUGGCCGGAGCUGCGGACCUCCUCCGCGCCCCAGCAGCCGCGGCCGGGGUCGUCGGGAUAGGCAUGGUGGCUCGCGUCGCUCCCCCGGUGGUCGGGAGGGUCGUCACCGUCUGCGCCGCCGGCGUGGCCACCGCGGUUUACCUCAGCCUGGGCUAGUUUUUUCUGAGUGUUCCCCAAAUUCUAGAGAACCUGUACAAACCACUUCCACAGCUCUGCUGUGUUGUAAAUUGAACCUGAAUUCAGCGGCAGUUGUUGCAGUAAUGCAUUUUAUGAUCGGACUCAGCUCAAAUGCCAUUGAAUAGGCUGUGCAAUUGUUUCCCUGGUAGAAUUGACAUGGAAUCUCGGUUCACCAAUGUUUCUCUGACAAAUCACAUUCUUGGAAGCAUCGAGUAUUUCAACUAUAUGUUAUCUAUUAUCUGAUUUAUCUUCUUCUUGCUCUCUGUUCUUGCAAACUGCACUCAGGUCAUAAUUUUCUUUCUAACUGAAUUGUUCUAUGCUCUUUUCAAGUUCAACAUUCCACAAUGAUUGUGUCUAUUAUUGUAAAAUUUAGUUUACUCAACAUUGUUGUCCAUCAGAUCAGAUCAGAUGAGAUCAGAUCAACCACGAUGCAUAAAGGAUACCUGUUCUUCAUUGUUUUCUCUCAAUUUGCUCUCGUUACCACGUUUUCUUUCAGUACACCUAGAGAAUUUUCAGUGUCAUGUGUAACAAAUAUAGUUUGACCUUUUGUUCAAUUUGAUCAUGUAUACAGAAUUCAGAGAAACAUAAGGAUAAAAAGUAGAGAACAGAGAUAAUGUUAUGGUAAUCUCUUUUUAUCUUGGAAUUGUGAAGUCAGGUUAGGAGAAAUAUUUAGCUUCUCGAUAGUAGCAGGAACUAUGCUCUUCAGACCACAGCCAGGUGUUAUUCAUAAAGGUAGCAUUUAUUUUUUGGCAAAUCACUGAACUACUGAAAACAAAUUGCAUACAUAAAUAUUUCUUAAAUUUAAUUUUGGUCAACAGGCUCUCAUUUUCUUUCUCUUUAUCUAAACUCAUGCUGCAAGAAAUAGUCUUCAAACAAAAGAGGAGGAGGAUAUAAUACUUUGGCCUGAAGCUAUAAAGUAAAACAAAGUGAAUUAUUUUAGCCUUGCUUUGCUUUCUAGCUGAAUUUUGUUUUCGGCUUGAAGCUAUGGUCAAACAUUCUAAGAAUAUAAUUCUUUGAGGGGUCCUGUCAAUUGUUAUACCAUGUUGCUAUCUCUACAUUUGUUUUCAUAAUAUCUAUCAACUUUGAUGCAUAAAGCCACAAAGGAAUCAAGCUUAUUAUGAAUCGAUCACAAAGUCCGGCAUCUCAAACUAUACUAUAGUUCAACAAUAUUUGAUGCAUUGUGUUAAUUGUUGUCUUAAGUCAAAUUUCUAACUUUCAAUGGCUUGCCGCCCUCCUGAAAUUCGCCUUGCUGCGAGCUUUAGAGAUACUGCUCAGCUGUGGAAAUAUCGUUUGCCCAGGGAGGAUCGCUUUGUUGUACGGCAGUGGUGUAAUAUAGUUUCAGCAUGAAUUAAACCCUCGAUGUAUUUCAGGCUGUAAACCCGCUUGUAUAACUGCUACUCAUGUAUUUCAGCUGCAGAGCUUUUUGCUGCUCCUGAUCAAUCAAUUGGUAGGGAGCACUCCUCCCCUCCGUUUCCCUCAAAAAAAAAUCUCUAACAACUUUGAUCAAGUUUGUAGAAAAUGCACCAUCAUCUACAUUAUCAAAUUAGUUUAAUUAAAUUCUCUAUGAAAUGUGUCUUGAUGAUGUAUAUAUUUAUUUGAACUUGUAGAUAUUAAUAUAUUUUUUUGAAAGCUUAGUCAAAAUUAGAGAAGUUGCCUUAGGACAAAGCUAAAAUGAAUUAUAGUUUGAAACAGAGGGAAUAGCACAUAGCUACUUGUACAUUCUAUUUUCAAAGCCUUAUUGGUUGGCUACCAAAAUUUGUUAUGCCAAGGAUUUGAAAAGCCAUGAUUUUGGCUAAUAUUCGGUUGGCUACCAAAACUUGCCAACUUCUCACAUUUAAUCGGAAAACAACAUGUGUCAUUCAUUUUUAUUAUUUUUGUUAAAUUGUGACAUGUCUGAAGAAAAAGAUUUCAUCAGUCCUGAAUGGGCCGAAAGAUGAUGCCCUAGGAGGCUUGGACGGUGGCAUUUAAGCAUUAUAAGGCGGAUUCUCCAAUGGGCCUAAGCCUGGACAUUGCACACUUCAGUGUACCGCAUGUGUAGUUUACUGGCAUAUGGCCGGUCCAUCCAAUAGUGCAGCACUCUGCACUUUAGGAUCUACGAAUGUCCCCACGUCUGACGUGCUUCGCCCUCUUCUGUUUAGUUCUAACCAACCAAUAUAGAGUACUUGUUUAGUUCUAAAAGAACAGCCAGGAACCAACCAAUAUAUAUAGGCCUUGUUUAGUUCUAAAUUUUGUAAAAUUUUUCAGAUUUCCCGUCACAUCGAAUUUUACGGCACAUGCAUAGAGUACUAAAUAUAGAUAAAGAAUAAUUAAUUACACAAUUUGUCUGUAAUUUGCAGACGAAUCUUUUUUAGCCUAUUUAGUCUAUGAUUGGACAAUAUUUGCUAAAUACAAACAAAAGUGCUACAAUACUCAUUUUGCCAAAAAAAAUUUUGAAGCAAUAGUUGCGGAACUCAGUUAGGCAGAACAUUUCAGCUAGCCGGAGGACCAUUUUCCCUUCCAGGGAAACCUAGGGUACUCCAGCUAGGCUACCACUACCACGCCCCGACGGACUCCCAAUCGACUGACAGACAAAUGGAUCUCUGCUAGUAACUGCUAGCUGAACCAAAUGGGGUAAGAAACCAAACCCACGCAUGCACGCACCGGCACCGGCCACCUAACUCGUGGCCUAGCUAGUCGCCGCGCCGAGCCAAGCAACGCUGGGUUGGAGAAUAUCCUAUUCCAGCUCACGCGCCGUAGCGCGUAGCGGUUGGUGCGGUGCCGAGACGUCGUCACGUCACAUGGACAUGGCCGCGCGCGACGGGGCAAACGCUAGCUCUGCCCGCCCCCGCGCGCCCCGCUUGCGGACUUGCCGAUCCGCGACUCGUUCGAGCUAGCGGCGUCGCGCGUCGUUGGCAGCGGCGCCGCGGCCGGGCACGCGAUGCGAUGCGAUUCCCGGCCCGGCCUCUGCCUCUCGGUCGAAGCCGCCACAUGGAAUUGAAUGGUAUCACACGUACGCCUGAACGCCUCCCUCAGUCCCUCUGCUGAUGCUGUGAUGUCUCUCUCCGCAACCGUCUUGCGAGAAGCCUUUUGGCGUCGAUGACAGGCACAUUUAACGGCCCAGAAACGGAUGGAUCGGAGCGGACGAUUCACCACCAUCAUUGAUGUUGCUUCACGAGGUUGGACAAGAGGAUGUGUUAGGUUUCCGUGCCGUACUACGAACUACGACAUAGAACUGAUUGUUCUGCGCCUUCUUGUUCUGCAGCGUUGCUGCCACUGUCGUUCGCUGCAAACUCCUGCCAGGGAUAGCCUGGCUGUCAUUCUUUCUGAAUUCUGAUCAGGUAGAUUCGACAGUGAAGCACAAGCACUACACUCCGGCGUGCGUGUGGCCUGCACAAGCAUGGACCGACAGAGACCAUCGGAGGGCACCGUUAAUAGGCAGGCGAGGUGUGAAACCUACAGUAUUCGAGAAGUAGCCUCGGAGGUAAGCGAAGGUGGCAGGGAAGCCGAAAAGUAGUUGGACACUACCGAAGCGGUGAGCUGGGGCUGUUUCUUUCAGUUCCACUUCCACUUCCGUCGGCGAUCGAUCUCCGAUCCUUUUGCUCGCGCACGCCAUGGUGGUUUUCCUGCGGCCUUUCAGGCUUUUCUUUUCGCUAGCUUAGGAUCUCCUUGCUUCCACAGAUCGCACUCACACGCGAAACAGGUUGUCUGCCUAUCUUAUCAUGUGAUCGACCUCGCGCUUUAGACAGGGCAUUCAUGUGAUGUUUUCGGUUACAUGAUGAGUGAACUUUAGCUAGCAAGAUGCAUCAGAAUCAGAUUUUAUUUCUGCGUCCUACAGAAUUAAAUUAAAGGAGAAAAAAAACGCUGAGAUGACAGCUUCUAGAUGAUGGAUUUAUUGAUUCAUCCAGGAAAUCGGAUUGAUUGACUAGAUCAAAUGGCGACGGGCAAGCAGCACGGAGUAACAUGCAUGCGUGCGUGUCCUGCGGUUCAACUGAACCCGGCCUGGCCGGUCUCUCUCUGAUCCUCUGUUUAUCAUGUGAGGUAGCACUCUUGGUCGUAUAAUCAGCAGGAUCUCCAAGAAUAAUGUCCAUGGACUUAACAACGGCGUAUAUAUGUCCACACGAGAGACACGGUGAGGAGGGAAAAAAACGACGCGUUCACUACCCUGCUUACAUAGUCAGCGUUGACCUAAUGUUGUGAUCGGUGAGCUAAACUGGUCGGUCGUAUCAGCUAAACGUAGAGAAUGCAUCACCGAAAUUCAUCGAUCUAAUGUUCAGAACCAACUAUAUGGUGCAACUGCAACCUUUUCUUCCAAAAUCAUGUUGCGCUUUAACCAAACAGACCAGUACCCUGCCCUGCUCAUGUCAAGUAACACAAUCUGACCUGAUCGUAAAUGUCAAGUACUACCAUGAGCAGGAGAGACAGAGAACUGAUUGCCAUGCUUCCACAAAAUCCUGAUGACAUAACUCUUUACUUGUUGGAGGGCCUUUGUUUAUUGUUUACCCUUAUAAGAUUACCAGGCUUUCAUUACAAUGUUAUCUGCACGAGCCGAACGUAAACUCAGGAAAAUAACCUAGCACAAGGAAAGAAAAACACAAAGCUCACACCCUUGCUCCAAGCCACACAAGGAGUCAAUGGCCUACAUAAAAAUCGCUCACGACUUCUUUUCACUAGAAAUCGCUCACGUCAUGAUACUCCGUUAUGACGUCAAUGCGUCAAGCUGAAACCCUACGCUGCGCAAGCGCUCGCAUUACGACUUUGGCCUUGUUUAGUUCACCUCGAAAACAAAAAAAUUUUCAAGAUUUUCCGUCACAUCGAAUUUUAAGCACAUGCAUGAAGUAUUAAAUAUAGACAAAAAUAAAAACUAAUUGCACAGUUAUCUGUAAAUUGCGAGACGAAUCUUUUGAUCCUAGUUAGUUCAUAAUUAGACAAUAUUUACCACAAACAAACGAAAGUGCUACAGUAGCGAAAACCGAAAAGUUUUCAGAACUAAACAAGGCCUUUAUAUAUCUUUCCACUUCCGUGUCAAUAUCAUGGCACUUUAUGAAUGGGGAGUUCAACGCUAGAAAUGGUAAUAUGGUAUGGUAUGAUACUUUGGUGUCCAAUUUGGAAAGAUACGAAAGAUCGUUUGAACAAUCUGUCUGUCAAAUUCCUAACCGAGAAAGAUUCUAACCUUUUCGAGUGUUUUAAAGCAGUAGGACACUUGAUUCAUUUUAACCGUGGAUGAAGAUCAAACGCUCCAUCUUUCUUCUACAUCCAGUCCAUGGUCGUUCACCGUGUCUCCGCGAAAUGCCUCGCCGCAGUGUGAUAGGGUCUCACCGAGCCGCAAAGCUUCAGCGAGACCCUACUGCACCUGCGCGAACCUCCUCCGCCUUCCCCUCCCCUCCCAUCGUCAUGGCCAUGGUCGUCCCCGCCCAACCUGGCCCGGCCUCCACCUCCGCCUUAGCACCAUCUCUCUCGCCCCACCGCCUAGCAUGGUUGCCUCCCCUAAUUCCUUUUUCUAAGCCUGUCAGAAUUGGAGAAGAAAAGAGAGAGAUAAAGAUAAAAGAAAAAAAUGAGUGUUGGAUUGCUCCAAAAACACUCGUGUUGUAUAGCAUUUUUGUCAAGAAAAAAAAAGAUACAACUCUCUCCGACCAACAAACAUUUCAAAUUCUUGUGCAAAUUUCUAUUAUUUCUAAGAGUGAGCCUCACAUUUUCUACUAGAAACCAGCCUCCAUGACGUGUGCUCUUCAAAUCUGCUUACAAAUGCUGGCAGUCGAGGAGGCAUCGAGUCAUUCCCCAUCUAUAUAGUGUGCUGUUACAAAUUUCUAGAUAGGUGUGGACAGAUAAAACAAUUCAACCUCAGGUUAAAACUUUUGUUCGGAAAUUACUCAACGGUCUAUGCCUACUUUCUUGCAUAUUUCAGCUGAUUCUAGAGCUUUUUUGUGACGCCUCUUUAGGCAAGGGGUCCUUACUCCAAACCAAAUAUGUGUUAGGAUUUUAUUCAUAUAACAUCUGCAAGAAUUGUUUCACGUGCAUCAUUUAUUUCAAGUGGCCAUUCCUUAGGUUUUGGAACCCUUGAAGGCUGAAAUUCUUGCCCUUUCUUGUUGCCAAACUGGCUACAACUCUCAAUUUGUAGGAUCGGAUGCAACUCUAGUCUGUUCGCUUGAGAUUAUCAGCCGAAUCUGUUAGUCUUUCGGAGUACUUUCUAGCUUAUCAGCCAAAGGAACAGGAAGACAAUCAGAUGCUAAUAAUUAUGUAUUCUGCUGGUUCGCCUUGUACUUAUCCAAGUGAUUGAGCACUGCAACCUCUACUUUCUGAAUUGCAUACAAUUAGUUAAGGCCUUGUUUAGUUCAUCCCAAAAACCAACAAUUUUUCAAAAUUCUCCGUCACAUCGAAUCUUGUGGUACAUGCAUAGAGCACUAAAUAUAGAUGAAAAUAAAAACUAAUUGUACAAUUUACUUGUAAAUUGCGAGAUAAAUCUUUUCAGCUUAGUUAUUUUAUAAUUGGAUAAUGUUUGUUAAAUAAAAACAAAAGUGUUACAGUUUCAAAAACUAAAAAGUUUUUGGAACUAAACAAGACCCAAGUGAGAAAUCUGAGGACAUCAAGAUCGGAAGAGCGUCAAACAAAACAGAUGACACACUCGUAAAAAAAAAUCCCAGGCUCUUGUCUGCCAAACAUUAGCUUGAUCAUUCGCCAAUUCGUAUAAUGUCGCUCAAAAGCUGGAACAUUUUGAAUAGGGCGAUUUUCGCUCCAUUCUGUUGUACGUUUUGUCUGUGAUGCAAUAGAAACACGUAAACAAAAAGUCCAGACGAGUUUUUUUUUUUAGAGUCCAGACGAGUUAUUAUGGCACCAAGAUCCUCGAAGGUUAAGGCCUUGUUUAGUUUUCAAAAAUUUUCAAGAUUCCCCGUCACAUCGAAUUUUGCGGCACAUGCAUGAAGCAUUAAAUAUAGACAAAAAUAAAAACUAAUUAUGCAGUUUACCUGUAAAUCGCGAGACGAAUCUUUUGAUCCUAGUUAGUCUAUGAUUAGAUAAUAUUUGCCACAAACAAACGAAAGUGCUACAGUAGCGAAAUCUAAAAUUUUUCUCAAACUAAACAAGGCCUAAGUGGAGAUUCAAGGCUGAGUGCGUGCUACUACCGGGGACGGUAAGGCGAGUCUCAAUGGCCCGUUUCAAUACAAUGUUUUUAAAACAGAUCUGCUGACAGAGCAUCAAUGAAACAAACAAUGAAACAACCUCCACAAUGCAUGAGUUUCACUUUGAUGUUUCCUAGGCUGGGCAAAGCAUUUAAUUACUGCAAAAUGAUUGGAUCAAUGCAAGAUGGUGAAAUGAUUUAGUCCUGUUUCACCGCGUGGGAAACAACGCCAGUGGAGUUUCACCAUAGUGAAAUUACUUUCUUCUCUCUUCUCAUCGUUUCAUGUAAAAAAAUAUAGUUUUAUUGACAAGACGCUCUAAUAAAUAUACAUGACAUCCUUAUAAAACUUCCACUGACACUGACCUAAUGGCCCAGACAGGACGCCGGACGCGCGCACCCUGGAAAACCAAUGGAUUGAUCCGCGGCAGGGCGCAUGUGCACCCGCAUCUUUCUUUAAUCCGUGCAGCUAAACCGUGAGCUGUUCCUGCGCACAAUAAUCAUCUGGGCCAGCCUUUCACAUCCCAAUCCCAAUCCCCACAAACCCCCUCCAUCGCGGACGACACCGCUGGGGCACCGCCGGUGCCGGUCGCGUCGCGCGGCCUUUUGCGCCCCUUUUCUUCGCUGUUCGGCAGCUCAGCCCACCAGCCUCGGCGGAGAACCGCGGUCCGCGGCACGCACGCAGCAAGAUCUGUCUCUCUCUCUCUCUCCCUGUGCUGUGCUCAUGUAAAUUCUAGCCAGCUCUUUGAUGCUCUACCUCCACGGUUAGCCAGGGCCCGCCGGCCCUACGGGACAAGCGACAUGUUGGUGCCGUAUGUGGUGUAUUGGGUUGGAUUUGGAUUGGACCUGAUCCCGAUUGGUUCUAGUGUGCACUCCCACGCAACGGCUUCCCCCCGGCUCGGAUGGACCCGGACGCAGCGCAGGUGCAGGUGUCCCUAUUCAUCUCAUUCUUGGUAGUACUGCAGCAACUUGGGAGCAUACUAGUACUAUGUCAGUUGUGCGUCUGUGCCUGGGUAAAGAGCGCGAGAAAGACCCUCGUUUUCUAUACCAAGUUGAAGGCCGUCGUCACGAUUAGAACUGGCAAUUCGUUGAUUGCCGCCAUGUGCACAGAACAGGCAGCAAGCAUGACGAAACCACCAACCGGAGCACACACUGCCACAUGGUGACACAUAUAUAUAUACACACGCGCACAGACGCUUCCGAGGACAGUAGCAGCAGCAGCAUACUCCUACGCGAACGGGGCGAAUCGAAUCGAUCGAUUAACGGGCGGCGGCAGUCACCGUGUGUGACCUGCCAAACUGUCUCAGGCCCCGCCUCAGCCUGCACGGCCUGGCCAGUGGCCAUCCAUCCCUUCGCUUCCACGCACCAAUCUUGUCCCGGCGCCUGCCAAAUCCAGCAAGGCCACAUCCCACCCGAGACAGGGCAGCAGGCAGGAACAGAGAGCAGUUGCGCACUAGCAGCAGCAGCAGCAGCAGCAGCACCCGCUGAUGGGACGCGCGGCAAUGGCGGCCUCUUCCGGGACGACGACGCGCUCCGUGCGCCUGCUGCUGCUCUCCCUGCUCGGCUUCUGCGUCGCGCUGAGCCACCAGGAGUCGUCGUCGUCGUCCACGGACUCGUGCGCCACGGCCAAGGUCGCCGUCGCCAGCCUCGUGCCCUUCGACUCCACCUCCUUCCGCUGCACCGCCGCCUGGAAGCAGCAGGACUUCGUCCUCAGGGUAUAUGCCUGUCUCUGCUGCUCAACCAUUCCCGAUUCUCUUCCCCUGCUGGUUGUUUUUUUUUCGUGUGUCUGUUCGUCGUCGCUGGGAGUCCUCGGAUUCGUUCUAGGCUAGUAGAUCCCACUGCCAUUGCACUCCUUCAGAGCUCGGAGCUGCCAGUCCGAUCUGCGAAUUGUGGAGCUCAUUCAGUGCGCCGCGCGCGCAUUGCAUCGCCGUCACCGUCACCGUCGGGCACGGUGAGGUAAUAACAGCCCGAUCUGACCCCGAAUUACGCCUCCUGUUCGUGCCGGCAGUACAAGAACACGGGGCCCAGCGAGUGGAGCUUCAUCCUCUCGGCGCCGGACAAGGGCUCGUACGUGGCGGUCGGCUUCUCGGGCAAGGGCGCCAUGGUCGGGAGCAGCGCCGUCGUCGGGUGGGCGUCCAACGGCAAGGGCACCGUCAAGCAGUACUACCUCGGCGGCAAGAGCCCCGAGGACUGCGCCCCGAACAAGGGACUCCUCAAGCUCGUCAAGAACAGGUCCGUCGUCGUCUCGCGCUCGGGGCGCCUCUACGUCGCCUUCCAGCUCAGCACCGACUACCCGCAGCCGUACCUGAUCUUCGCCGUCGGGCCCGACGGCAACCUGCCGCAGUCCGACUCCCUGCGGCUGCCGAUGCACCAGAACAUGGCCUCCCGCUCCUUCAACUACACCUCCGGUAACGCAGUUUUUUGCAAUUCCUCACUCCGAUUUGUCGAAUCGCCAAAUGCGUGCGUGAGCGUGACAGAGGAUCUCGUUCUUAAUAACCUGUGUGUGCUCGCUUGCUCAUCACUCAUCAGGGAUGUCUUACAACACCGCCGGCUCGUCCGGCGACCAGGCGGCGUUCCCGACGGAGAGGAAGCACGGGCUGCUGGGCAUGAUGGGGUGGGGCGUGCUGAUGCCCAUCGGCAUGAUCACCGCGCGCUACUUCCGGCAGCUGGACCCGUGCUGGUUCUACACCCACAUGGCCAUCCAGGUGUGCGGCUACGCCAUCGGCAUCGCGGGCAUCGUCCUCGGCUUCCGCAUCAACGAGGACGGGCUCAAGAACGUGGACGUGCACAAGGCGCUCGGCAUCGCCGUCUUGGCCAUGGCGUCUCUUCAGGUACGCAACGCAACGCAACGCAGCGCACCAUGGAAAAGGAAAACCAGAAAAUUGCCUGAGUUAUAGUACAGACUAGAAAAGAUUAACAAACAGCCUCUGUAAUUAACACGGGGAAAAGUGAAUAUAAAUCAUGAUAAUAAUUUGUACUGGUAUAUCCACUUUCGGUUGGUUCGGCACAUGCGUACGGGGUGUGGAUUGGAAUCUGCCGCUAUUGCCAGGCUGGAUAAAACAGCAUGGUUUUAUGGGGUUUGUUUGUAGUAACUGAGUAGUUGACCGUGAUUAAGUACAGUAGGACUGAAGAAGUGAGAAUAGAGGAUUCAAAAAAGAAAAGUGAGGAUAGAGGCUUCCAUUUUUGCUGACGGCAGAGGCUAGACAGACAAUGCGCACCGUAGCCUCGCAUGUUCUUUGAGAGCUGGCAGGUGAUGGGUUCCGAGAAAGUGGCUAGAGUAGCUCCGCGCACUCGCAGCAUUCUCAAUUGUUUAUGCUUCGAAUCUUCGACCACCGACGAAAAUAUGGCUCAACUCGACAACUCAAGUGUGGCCUUGUUUAGUUUAUAAAUUUUUUUUGGGUAGCACAUUUUUUUAUUUAGUAAUUAUUGUUCUACUAUAGAUUAACUAGCAAUCAAAUUGUAUAUUUAGUUAUUUUUUAUCUAUAUUUAGUGUUUCAUGUAUGCGUCAAAAGAUUCUAUAUGUUAGAAAAUCUUGAAUUUUUUUGAAAAUUAAACAAGUCGUGUGUGUGUGUGAAAGUUGUCGAGCACUGAAGUUGACCUUGACCCUAGUGAAACUGGUUUUACUGUCUCGAUCGAGUCCCUAACGAGGGGCCCAACAUCAUAAAAGUCCAUUUUCAAAUGAACUAGGCCUUGUUUAGUUCACCCAAAAAGCAAAAAGUUUUCAAGAUUCUCCGUCACAUCGAAUCUUGUGGCACAUGCAUGAAGUAUUAAAUAUAGACAAAAGUAAAAACUAAUUACACAGUUUAGCUGGAAAUCGUGAGACGAAUCUUUUGAUCCUAGUUAGUCCAUAAUUAAAUUAUAUUUAUCACAAACAAACGAAAGUGCUACAGUACCGAAAUCCGAAAUCUUUUCGGAAGUAAACAAGGCCCUAGUGGAAAAAUGAGUACGUAGUGGCUAUUGGUCUUGUUGCUUUUUUUCGUGCUGUGCUGAUCGAUGUAUGUGUGCUUUGUUUGAUACAUACACCAGGUGCUGGCGAUCCUGGCGCGGCCGGACAAGACGUCCAAGGUGCGGCGGUUCUGGAACUGGUACCACCACAACAUCGGCCGCGCGACGAUCCUGCUGGCCAUCGGCAACAUCUUCCUGGGCCUGUCCAUCGCGCAGGAGGUCAGCGCCUACGUCGUCUCCUACGGCGUGUUCGUCGCCGUGUGGGUGGUCGCCGUCGCCGCCUUCGAGAUGAAGCGGUGCUACGCCGACGACGACUGACGUACGGUCGACGCCGAGCCGUGGCAACGGCGAUGCGUACAGUCAGUUCGUUCAUUCCGAGAACAACAGCUGGCCAUUGAUAGGACGACGAAGUUGAUGACGUAAAUUAAGCGUUCACGAUCGACCAGUGACGUGACAGUGUGACACACACAUACACCAUUCUUGUUACGUAGCUCGCAGCUGGACAGUGCUUUGGUUGGCUAAAAUUUGUUUUUUUUUUGGGGGAGGGGGGGGGGGGGGGGGGCGGGUAUAGGAUGUGAAGAAGGGGCCGGACUGCUUGUUUCUAGCCUAGCUGGACGCUCUGCUGAUUCAUAUAUUUUGUACAUUGGUACAUGGUCAUGUUGUGUUGUACCCUUUUGGACGACAGCUUGUUCUUCACCUUUUUCUUUUGGUUACCACCGUGCAUUGUUCAAUGAUACUGCUUACUCGCUGAUUCCUGGACACAGCUGUAGUAUGUGCUGAGAUUGGCAUGCCUUGAAAUCUUUAUGCGUCGUUUCAGAACGGCACCAACCGGUAGCUACGUGCUGUAGUGUUGACUGCUCUGUGGUGUGUACCAGCACCGACCACAAAUGGAACGAUCAAGCCCGUGAAUCAUGGGCGGAUCUAUAUAGGCCGUAGUGGCUGUGGGCGUACCCACAAAUAUAUCAAAAAAACAGUAAUUAUAAUUAAAUUUUUACCAUAUUCAUAAAUCCUACCCAUAAGGUAAGCACAUCUCCUCGUAUUCACUCUACCUCCGCCGCUGCCGUGAAUCCGUGAUUAGCCGCUGCUGGCGGCGCGACAUUCCCGACCGUGUUGCGGCGGCAGGAAAAUCCGCGAAAUUCUGCGGACGGGGGCGGGCACCAGAUGGCUGAUGGACACAGCCGCGGCGGCCGGCGGAAGCCCCACGCGGCGCGCACGUCCGAAUCCCCAGCCGACAGGCCGCGGGCUGAGUCCACAGGCCAGCCGGCACGUCCGCACGUACGGCGAGGACGCGCGGCUGAAUGGCCGUGCUCACGCCGGGUGCAAAAGUUGCCGACGGGUCGCGUCGAAUCAGCCCGGGCUUAUCGAGGCUCAUCGCCUUCAGAGUCACAUCGAAUCAGCUAAUGCUUAUCGAACAUCAUCGCCUUCAGAUGGUGGUGACUAGGAUCCGACGACACCUCACCAAGAAUAGUAAGACGUUGUCACCACAAAUCGGACCAAACUAAUUUAAGCCACAAUUUGUAACAGACAGCUAGGACCAUCAACAGGCUAAGGUGGUCCAGACCAUCAUGUUUAGUUGCUUACACAGGUCAAGCGGACAGCAAUGUUUUCGUCCAUGCCAUUUUGCUGAAACUGGGGCAUAUAGACCUGGCGCUAAGGUUUAUCUUGACCUUGGAUUCUUGGGUAACGGACACAAGGUUUAUCUUGACCUAUUGCAAAGACCCAUUGUCAUUCUGCUCUUGCACAGAUGCGCGAACUGCUCCAGGGACAAAGCCAUGGCUAGUUACAAUAAGCAUCCGGCACGGUAAAUGACUCAGCUUGGUCCAUCAGCACUAAAGCUUACAACCAAAUGGGAGCUACAGGCUGCACAAAAACUAAGUGCCUCAAACAAUCUGAAGUUUACCUAGACACCACGCUAAGCGAUGCAUGAAUCGCUCAGUCAGACAGAGCAAACAUUAUUUCUAACAACUGACAAUCUCAAGGUCAGGGUUCACUCUUGACAGCAUGGCUGUCUGAGGCGCCUGCAUUUUGAGCAUGUGAUGACAUGGCAAACCCUCUCAUCUUUAGGUCCACCGGGAAUGGAUGAGCCUCCUGCAGCAACUGGUGCUGCUGCUGCAAAUGCGUCUGCUGUUGCUGAUGUUGGGAGUGGAUCUGGAGCUGCUGCAGCUGCUGAGCAGCCAGAAGAGACUGUAUAUGGCUCCGCUGGUAGCUUUGUGGAUUGCCUCCAAAUGACGACAUACUAAAGUUUCCCAUUUUUCCAAUGUUGGCAUUUACCUGUCCUGUUGCAACCUUCAGCUGCUGAAUCUCGUCUCUUAGCCUGUCGUUCAAAGCUGCAGGUAGACAAGGACUAGUUACAAUACUAGAGAUGGAUAGCUUCCCAAAAUAGCUAAAAAUGAUAUAAUUUUUUAUUAUAAGUCUCAAAUGACAAUGAACUAAUGUUAAUAUCCUUAAAUGACUGUUUAGCAUGCUUCACAUUUUCCUUAAUUUUAUAGUAUAGCCAAACCGACAACUUCAGGACAAUCUUUUCAAUUGCAAAUUUUGCAAGUUAUUCCUUCUUUUCACUUUUCUUUUGUAGGGUGGGGAUGGGUGGUAUAAUCAAAUAUACAUCACACAAGUGUGGCAUUUCAUUUCUAAAACUUCAACUUAUUCACUUUGGAUGCAAAGAAAAUUAUAUAAAAGCCUUACCAUCCUGUAGCCGAACCUGCUGCUCCAUUGUCUGCACACGUACCUUCAGAUCACUAUUCUCGCUUGUCAAACCAGUGGUAUCUCGCUGUAUCAUACAGAUAAUCAAUUAUAAAGUUGUAGGAAAAGGGGAAACAGGUAUUCUGAAAACCUAAAACUACAUCAGUGCCGUCUAUGUUCUACAUGUAGGCGGUAUGAGCAUGAUGAGAUGGAGGAUGUGACCGGUGACUAUGGAACUGGGGGAGGGGGGCAAAAGGAGGGGAAGGCUGAAAGGUUGAAAAAACACAAGGUUAUUAGCCCUUCGCUUCUAUUUUUCUAACCAAGAUACAUCUUCUCAAUUGAGCUUAUCUGCUGAAUCUGUCAGCCAUUCAGCAAUGUUUUUCUCUCACAACAAAUCAGUACUUUCAGUCAUGGCUUUUCUGCCAAGCGAACAGGGCAGCAAUAAAUCAGCCAGCCAACAUCAGAAAUCGAUUCGAUGAUGACGCGCUUAAGAGGAAGAAUCGUCAGCUGUUUGUGCAGCUCAAGUUUGGAGCUCCAUCUCUGAUCUGAAGUUUGUAUGCUAAAAUCAGGAAUCUUGAGACUACCUUUGUCUAGAAUAGAAAGAAAACAGCUUAACCAAACAACUCAAGUAUACCCACAGCUCUAGAUCCAUAGAUUCCAGAGCUAGGAAUACCUAGCUCCAAGAAAUCCACAAUUUUCCAGGAGCUAGAACUCUGUCAAACAAUGCUGAAGGAAACUAUAAAUGGGAUUUUAUAGAUAUGAUCUGAACUUUCCAAACCGAACAAUGAUGAACUUUCUAAAUAAACAAUGACUUGGUUUGGAUGACAAGCUGGCAACGGCAGGGGCAGCCUCCUGGUAGCAGUGUGGGGGGCUGGUCACGACUGUAGGGCAUGUUGCCACCCUCUUGGGCUGCUGGCUGCCCGUGGGCUUUGUCACCCAUAAGGCCAUAACAGUCGGGUAAGAUUACCAAACAGAAAGCAAAGCACAUCUUAUGAUUAUUUGCAGAACAAGCUUCAGGAGUAAAGCAUGAUCUUCUUUUUUAAAGAAAGAUAUCUUAUACUAUACUCAAGCCUGGAAAACUAAUACCCAUAUGCAGACACAAAUAUUGUAGAGUUGAAGAACCAAAGCCACAAAUAUCUAAUGUAGAACUGUUAAUAAAUGCUCAAAAGAUUGCAAAAGUAAUCCAUGUAUAAAACUGCCUAUGUAUUCAAAAUCCUUGUUGAGUGUUGACUGUUCAUGAGACUAAGCAACUGUGACUCUGAGUAGCAACCAAAUUGCAGAUUAUAACGUAGACAUUUAUCUAACAUGUCUCCGUAUUUAAAAAAAUCGAGAAAAGGUAAGUAUAACUGUACAAGUGAAGAACCUGCAACAUGGCCAGCUGAGCUGAUAGUGUAGUUGCUUCUGACUGGAGAUUCUGCACUUUCCUUUCAAGCUCUGCAAUGUAGCGCAUCUUUCUUUCUUUUGACCUAGCAGCUGACUGGCGGUUUGCCAAAAUCCUAAAAUGUGCCAUGAAAGUAAUUACUUGGUCACUGGAGCAAGAGAUCUAAUUACCAUAACCAAAAUACACAUCUAGACUGCUGACAUGUGUUAUCAUUCAACCACUCAUGCAGUAAAAAAACUCCAGAAUUCACAUGAUUUGAAUAUACUAAGCUACAUGGAGCAUAAGCUUGUUACAAAUUACAGCUCACAAAAUGCUAUUGCCCCCGCUCCAAAAAUGUGUUAUAUAUAUGACAGUAUGCUCCAUGAUAAAAAAAAAAAGGGGGGGGGGGGGGGGGUCUGAACUUCGAACAAAUCUAAAUGGGCACACAAUUGGGAUCAAGAGUACUAAACUACAGUGAUGCAUUAACAUGAGCAUUCCAAUAUUUUUUAGAAUAUACACUCCCGGUGCCUUCCCACAAGAUAGAGAAUGAAUACCUACUGACAAUGACAUGACAUGGUCUGGUACUCAGGUAUAGUGGUAUAAAGAUAUCCACUCGACUAGCGGACCAAUUACAAGGUUUAAUUCAUUCAUAGGACUGGAAAUUGAAGUGCUCAAUUAUAUUAUCAUCGUGUCAACAGCAUAGAGGACUACUACAAUUCUUUGCCAAUCAAGAUUGAUUUGAAGUACCACAACUUAAUGGACCUAUGAGUGGGUCAAUGAUGAACCAAGAUUGCCUUUCAUCUAUGAUAUAUUGAUAUCGACAGUCCAUGGUGCUAUAUAUUCUGCUGGAUCACAAUCAGACCAAAAGUUCUAGCAGGUCUAAUUUCAAUCUAUUUACCAGAUUCCACAAGUUCCUUUCACACUCGGUUCCUGUGACUCUUUUGCAGGAGCUCCGCUCUUUAAAAUUAGCAGUAACAGUAUCCUCGGACCUCGGGUGACCAGUCCUUGUCAAAUGCCGCCACAAUCAAUAUCAUAUUCGCCCGAUUGCUAUUACCAACCGGAAAUACUACAAAGGUGACAGACGACAACCAUAGUCGCAAAUAGAACAAGGGGCAGCUCUCCUCCACAGGAUGCUGUUAGAUUUCUCACCUCUUGGCGCGCUUGGGGUCAACGAGCGCGAGCUCGGCGAGCUUGGCGUCGGAGAUGGCCUUCUUGGCGUCAGCGCCCGCCCUCCCAGGCGUCCCCGCGGCGGCGGAUCCAAGCAGGGACGUGGAGCCGUCCAUCGACAUGCUGUGCUGGUGCCGUGGCCGCGGCGGCGGCGUCGCCGUCGCCGCCGGAUGCGGGUGCGCCGACGGCCCGGCGAGCGUGCCGCCGUUCUCGAGGAACAUCUCGAACAUCCGGCUGCCGCCAGCGCCGCCGCCGCCCCCUUCCUCGUCCUCGUCCUCGUCCUCCUCGUCCUCGUCGCCGGCCACGCAGGCCUCCCCGACGACGCCGAGGUCGGCGUCGA
RNAcentral lists this long non-coding RNA (64089 nucleotides) under Sorghum bicolor (sorghum). RNAcentral describes it as "long non-coding RNA (SBIC_LNC011301)". The record is from RNAcentral. Lineage: Eukaryota; Viridiplantae; Streptophyta; Magnoliopsida; Poales; Poaceae.